UAUCUCUCUGUCUUUUCCAUCUUUCCGGUCCUGUUAUAUGUCUUCUCUUCUCUUCUUCUUUUCCUUCUUUUUUUCUCGCUGUUAAAAGAUGAUCAUGGAGGGGAGGAGGGCUUCCCCGGGGGGUGGAGCCUGACGGAGAUGGCGUUUACGUUCAUUCAUGUUGUUUUUCUUUCGGUUCCUGGGAUAUGUCUUUUCCUUCUUUCCUUCUUGUUUUCUGUCUGUUAAAUCAUGGAGGGGAGGAGGGCUUCCCCGGGGGGGGAGCCUGACGGAGAUGGUUUUUCCGUGAAUUUCUGUUGUUUUUCUUUCCGGUCGAAAUUUCUUCCUGUCCGGACUAGAGAGGAGCAUUUUUCCUUCCUCUUUCUCUUCUGCUCAACUGCUCAAGAAUUUUCUCUCAUCAGAUAUAAGGGCGGUAGAUGAUAAUGAAAAAAGGGCUCAGCGUCUGGACGGGCGGAAUGGAUGAGCGAAAGGUGCCAUGCCAUGGAGUGAGGAAUAUCCCGAGUCUCAUCUAAGACAUCAAAAUGAACCUCGAGGUGCUGCCGAGGAACUGGGGGACCUUCUCGAGCACAGGAUAGGCAAUUGAGAUCUCGAGCUAGCCUCUUCGUUAUGGGGAAUCAAUGCUCCGGGCCGAAUAGAGCUUACCUCCGGCACCUGGCUUUCUCCGCUCCGUGGGCAUAUUAGCUUAGCUGCGCUUAAUAGGCCGGUUUGCCUUCCAUUCAGACUCCCAGAAAGUUCAAGCCUAGCUCCGUGGGCCACGCUACACUCCCACUCCAAGCUAGGCCUGCUGAGCAAGAUGCAUUGCUCUUUCCUCUUCUGUGGACGCACCUCACAUAUUCCCAAAGGGAAGAGACAGACUUUUUUCGGAGGCGGGCUUUCUCUCUACAAGCCAAAGAGGCCCCAAGACAAGGUAGAAUUGUUGGGAAGGGGACAUGAGAAAUAGAACCUGGCUGGAUUCGGGGGAUCUCCGCCCCGAGGUUGGGAGUUUUUGUCCUGAUGGAUAAUACAGUGCAUCCAUUUUCUUUCAUCCUCCCUUAUCGUUCAUAUCAACAAAGAUAUUUCAUAGCUUUCAGAACCGCUACGUGGGUAUCGAGGUGGAUAAGGCGCGAACAGCAGCCAAAGAACCUACGUUCCCAACAGCAGCAUGGGAAUGCCCCGGCCGCCUAAGACAACGAGGGGGACCCCCAGGCCAGAUCAGUGGCAUCCGCUGAAAGGGCAGUUGGUAGCCGUCCUUCGUCUUCUUUAUUAACCCGUAAAAUCUUGCUUAGUUGCAGACGUUAGGAGCAAAGAAUAUUGCGAGAACCUCCGGACUAUCCAUUAGAAUUAGACAUAUUCAUAUUUUCAAAAAAAAAGGCUCAAAGAAAGGUGCAGUUGAGGAGCAAAGAAUAUUGCCUUCCACAUAUUAAGCUGCGACUGAGGCGCAAUGAAAUAUGCGAUUGAGAAGAACAAGAACUGAAAGGGCAACCAGCACUGUACGAACCACCGCCUCAAUGAACAAGGCUACAAGACCUAGAACUCACUCGAUCGGCAACUUCCCUUUCUCGAAUUCCUGGAGCAAGAAAUGAAAGGGGAGACUGAAAGAGAGCCAGCGUGCUUGCCUCCCUCCGACUGAAAAAAGAAGAGUGCUUGAGGCUAAACCUUCUCGUUAUGAUAGAUCCAACAAUGCUGGUUGGUGUUGGGGAGUUUGGGAGUUUCUUUCUCCUGUCUGAACUUCCUUCCUUAGACCUAGAGGUCUAGCUAUCCUACUCGUUCAUUCAUUGUACAAUAGUAAGAAUCUGCCGCUUUUAAGCUAAGCAACUCCGACUAUCUUCAUGCUACGGGGACUCAAACAUAUACUUCCCAUUCAAGGGGCUAGAGCGAGCGUAAACCCUUUCUUAUCUGACUGUGCCUGCUUACAGUGCUUGGUCGAGUUUGUGCCGACUUUCUUCCCCUGACGCAACUCUCUACUUAUACUGAUUAUUGACCUUCCCCCGUGGUGGGAUCGACCAUUUGUCUUUUCAUUCAUCCUUGAAAUUCAGUAAUUAAGCCUUUCAUGAAUGAGAGAUAGAUCGAACCACGGGAGCGGACUAGUGGCGGAAUGGUGAAUGACAAAUGCUACCGCCAUAAGAAUGGGACCUCUUCUCCUAAACUAAACGUCUCGCAACUUUCUUCUACCCCACUCCUAGGUUCAUCAGGCGCCCAAUGGUUGAACUUGGUAUCGUAGACCUUCCUUCCUAUACCCCUUUCUUCUUCUUCUCUUUUCUUAAGGAAGGGGUUGCUUCGUUCAUCGCCUAAGGCUGAUUUCUGAAAAUCAAGGAUUAACGCCCGUGCAAACUCAGUGGUUAUUGAACCUAAAAUUGGACUAGAUUGAUGAGUUUGAUCCUUUCUAGUCAAGGUGGUACGCGUUUGCACUCCAUUUUCUGAAUCUUUUGUCAUUGCGCAUGAGGUACUGUAAGCAUAUGCUUCACACGUCCCGAUCGGGAAAUCGGUAAGUAAAUGAAUGGGUCUUGCCCUAUUAAAGAGAGCCCUAAACUGAGAAUGAAUCUUUGACCUCUUGGCCUUCCCCCCCACUUGCUGCAACCCAGGAUGAAACCCACUUUCAGUCCAUUUUUCACAUCUUAACCGAGGGGACGUGGUCAGGCCACUAUGGAGGUUCGAAGAAAGGAGACGUAGUUUACGAAGUUGAGAAGAGCUAAGCUCGAUAGAGUUGUAGAGUGAGAGGUUCAACUCCUCCCGUCCCAGCCUUAGAAUGAAAGAGAUAUCUAGCUUCCGGCGCUUCCGUCCUCCCUCUCCUUUCAGUCGAGCUAUUUCAUCCCUCUCCUUUCAGUCGAGCUAUUUCAUCCCUCUCCUUUCAGUCGAGCUAUUUCAUCCCUCUCCUUUCAGUCGAGCUAUUUCAUCCCUCUCCUUUCAGUCGAGCUAUUUCAUCCCUCUCCUUUCAGUCGAGCUAUUUCAUCCCUCUCCUUUCAGUCGAGCUAUUUCAUCCCUCUCCUUUCAGUCGAGCUAUUUCAUCCCUCUCCUAACCGCUCCGUGGGAGCAAGUCUGAUUCCACUAAAAGGACUUCCUAUGGUCGAGUAACUUCUUCCGUAUUCAAAGUGAGUCCGUCUCGUCUUUGUCAAGUGACUUGGGAUCCAUUUACUGAAUUAUGUGCAAUCCCCCAUAGAAAUCCGCUUAUCAUUUAAGAACGAGCAAUUGCCUCAUGGGGCAAGAGGGCUAGCUAGGUUCAUGAAUUAGAUCUUUCGUCACUUCCUCUUAGCCAUAUUCACCCUUGGGAAACCCCGCUUCACGUCUUAUUUAUGAUGGAUGAGCUUUUUCCCGUUCUUGGAUGAAAGCCUAAACAGCAAAAUGGCAGGUAGAAGAAUUAUAAAUCAUAAAACUUAUCUUAGUGGCCACUAAAUAUAGAUUUCAUUAAUGCUUCCAUGGAUUUUAGCACUAUAAUUUGUUAUUGUUUGUGUUCCGUACUUGAAAUGUCAACUCUCCAUCUAAAAGACGACUAUGAACUUCUAUUAGAUGAAAUUUUAGAAAUUUGUACUAUUUAGAUCACAUAAUUUUAAAAUAAAUUUAAAAAACAUAAUUUUGUUAGCUUGAACAGUUCAGAGAAUUUAAAAAGUAUAAGAUUUUAAAAAGUAUAGGAUCUUUCUAUUAGAUAACUACAAUAUAUAUUAUCUAAAUUAGAUAAAAAAAAAAUUGGAUCAAAAUUACCAUUAGUCCCGUUAAGUAGUCAUUUCAUUUUGUUUUCCAAUUUUUAAAUAUGUAUUCUUUCUUUUUACUAUUUUUACAUGAUUUGCAUCUUCCUUAAAUAUAUUAGGUUAUUUCUUAACCAAAUUUCAAAAUCAAAAGUUUUUUUUUUUUAAGUUUUCAAAUUUUGUCAUGGUUUUUUAAAUAAUAUUGAUAAAAAUUAGAUAAUAAUAAUGGUGUUGUAGGAUUUUUAGGUUUGAUUGUUAAAAACUAAAACUAAAAAAGAAAUAGUACAAAACAAACCUAAUUAAUUUUUUGUUUUUAGAAAUUAAGCUUACAUUUUUUACUCUUUCUUAUUGAGUAACUUUUUUUAUGUUAUUUUCUACCAAUAUUUUUGAAAAUGUAAACCAUAAUAUUAUUUCAUGAAUCAGUAGGCUCUUUUAAAAAUUAAAAUAUAUUAUAAAAAUAUUCUAUUCAAUUUUAUUUGUGAAAAGAAGUAUUUAAUUUGAUGCUUCAUAAUUUUCUUAAUCCGAUCAAUGACUCUUCUAUUCUUACUUUUAUCUCAAACAAAAUAGAUUGAAAAUAUCGGAUUGAUUAAAGAAGUAUAUAUCUUCCACCAAAAGAUAUUGAAUCCUAAAUUCAACUAAUUGAGCCAAAAAAAAAAGUAUAUUAAACUCUCUAAAAAGACAUAUCUAAAGAAGAGAUUUUUAUAGUUUUGAAGUUUUAUUAUAUCUAAGUUGAUCUCUCACAAAUUUCAUGCGAAAAAUAAGCACUAAGAGAUGAAUUGUCUCCUCCCAAUGACACUAAAAUAUACUAGUUGACAAAAUUUAACUUAUAACAAAUAGUUAUCAUUUUUCCCAAAGAGAAAAAAGAGGGUAUUGGGCAUAGUUUCAAAUUCAAUUAAAUAAAAUAAAAAAUUAAAAUCCCUACAAAAACAGAGAGAUACAUUGGUAAAUGUUCUCCUAAGUCAAAACCUAGUACAUCAACUUUACAUUAAAAUGAGUAAUUUAAGCCUUAAGUUGAAAAAAUAUUUAAUUUGAAAGUGUUGAAUUAGGAUUUUAAACAUAGCUAGAGACACUUUAAUGUGUGGAAACCAAUAAAGGAUAUUAUUAAUUAGCAGCAUGUCGUUAAGACAGGAUCAUGCCUUAAUUAAUGCGACACUUUGAUUUAAUUAAUAAUUAUUUGUAUCAUACACAUUUUCACUUGUCUCUCCAUCAAUUGGUUCUUCCAGGAUUUCAAAUUAAUAACUCUAUUCUUAAUCUCUCUUUUUCACUGCCUAUCUACUUUAUAUCACAUGCAAUAUAAUAACAGUAUAUUUUUUUAAUCUUUCUCUUUUACUACAUAAUUUAUUAUCUCACAUGCAACCCCAUUUAUUUAUUAUUUAUUUAUUAUUAUUUAAUUUCUCUUUUUUCUAAAAUCACGUCCAAUUAUGAAGUUAAACAAGGUGAUUAGUUGGCUGGUCUUUGUGUAAUUCAACACAAUCCGCAGCAAAAAAAAAAAAAAAAAAAAAAACUAUGUUCAUAUUGAUCAACUUUAGAUUGCAAUUAAAUUAGGAGUUGUAGACAACAAAACAUAAUUAGGGUUUAUUGUGUUCAUGUGUAAGGUGUCUAAAGUUUGAAAAGAAAAACUUUCUAAAAAGGUUUUAUUUCAAACGAGAUGUCCUUUUUAAAUAUAUAUAUAUAUAUAUAUAUAUAUAUAUAUAUAUAUAUAUAUAUAUAUAUAUAUAUAUAUAUAUAUAUAUAUAUAUAAUUAUAGGGAUAAAAAGUUUAAUAUUUGUAAAUUGUUCAGAAAAGAUAAUCAUCAAAUUACUUUAAAAGAAUGUCUCUAUUUAUAUAUAAUCAGCUUUUUUUUUUCACUUUUAUUUGGCAGAAUCUAAAAGCAAAUUAAAAAAGGUGAAACAAUAUAGAUCAUACUAUGACUUGUGCUCAUUGAUGUAUUUUGGGACAAUAAUGUAAUUUACACACAUUGAUCAACUUAUGUACUUAGGACUAAUUCCUUGGGUUAAAUAUCAUUUUAUGUUCGUCCUAUAUAUAUUAUGAUCUCCAUAAUAUCAUAAAUGUUUUACACUUUACUCUCUUGAUGAAUAUAUACUUAGCUUUACUUUUUCUUUUUCCAUUUAGAAUGAUAUCAAUAUAUUACACUAAAAUUAUAGUGCAUCAAUAUAAUAUACUAAAAUUAUAGUGCAUCAUAAAAACUUAAAUACAAUAUAAUUAUAUAACAAAGUUAAACGUCUAUCGGUAAAAUGUUUAUCAAUCAGAUCAAAAUAUUGCAAAAAUAGUAAAACUUAAAACUAAUAACAAGUAUAGCAAUAUAUAUAUAUUCAAAUAUAUAUAUAUAUAUAUAAAAUGUCCCAAUCACUCAUUCAAAUCUAUCAAAUUCAUAGGCUAGCUUAUCACUUGUAAAGUCUAUUAGUAAAAGAAAUAUAUCGGUAAUAGACUUCUAUCACUAAUAUACUAUUAUUUACUAUUUGAGUCUAUCAUUGAUAGACUUAAUUUUUAAUAUACUAAUUGAAAAUAUAGCAAAAGUUACUUUUAAUCAUAAAAAUUGUUCUAGAAGCCCAUUAAAGACACCAAAUUUCAAGUUUCUGAUGUCUAUCAUCGCGAAUUACUUUUUUUUUUCUAAAGUCUACCAUUGGUACCAAACUAUCUCUAACAAGUCUUUAUCAUGGAUAUUUUUGUAGAACUAUUAUAAUUCUAUCAAGAGUUAGUACAAGAGGAUUAUAUCAGUUUAACAAUGAUAAACACUAUCACCGACAUUUUUAUAUCAAUGGUACUAUCAAAUAAAUAUAAUAGGGUAGCAGUGAUAUAUAACACACUAUUAUUGAUAGACCUCCAUGACCAAUUUUUAUUGGUCAAUCAAUGAUAAACUUUUAAGAUCGAUAGACUUCUAUUAGUAAAAAAACAUAUUAGCUUGAUUCCUACUCAUUGUUUAGUUUAUAUUAUAAUAUAUCUAUACAUUUUACAUUAAUCUCUUUAUCCACUAUUAUUUAGGUCGUUGGGUAGAAGUUUUUGAGGCGUGGAUAUAAACCUUUUAACCUUGACUAAAUAUUAUAGAUAUGAAUUGUAUUAGAAAUGGAAGAAAAAAAUUAAUUAAUAAAAAUAAAAAAGUUUAAAUUGACUUAGUUAAAAAGAAAAAUAAAACACACUAACAGUAAGAGUAGAGAUGAAACAACAAACCUCUAACUGGAUGCGAACAAUUAAAUGUAUCGUUAGCGGCUAAGUUCAAUUAUUAGGAGACAACUACUAUUAUAAUAAAUAUAUAUAUAUAUAUAUAAUUUGAAAAAGAAGAAAAAAGGGGUUAAGAAAACAUAGGUUUUUAUUAGACUUUCACUCUAUAAAAACUAGGUAGGAAAACAAGUUUGAUAAAAAUUCAAAACAUCCUAAAAGUUUUUACUGUAAAGACGACAUGAAAUUUAGUAACAUGACUUGCAUUAUUAUUAUAAUAAUAAGCUUCAUUUUCACACCAACUACAUGAAAAAGCAUUGUUUUUCUUUUGUUUUUUGGCAUAUAUAUAUAUUUUGGCCGACAACCAAAAUAAUAAUAUGAUCACUAUAAUCCCAAAAGCAUAUGGAAAUUGAAAUGACUUUAUUAAUUUGGUAUAAUUACGAAUAAGCAACAAUAAUGUACUUUGGUUGUACCACUUUCUAGAGAGAGAAACAAUUGCUAAGACAAAGUAGUUGACCUACACACAUAGAGUUUUUAUGAUGAACAGUUUACUAUUGUAUUAUAUAUUGUGACAUUCCCUAUUUGUGUUUCCAUUACCAUAUUUAUGAAAUCUAAAUCCCAACUUAAAACAAAUCUAAGUUUAUUUUAAUGUGUAACGAUGUGACUCUACCAAAUAUGACAAAUAACUUUUUCAUUUCAAACAAUUACUAAGUGAUAGGAUGUUGAUAAAUCAUGAUGGACCCUUUACCGUUUAUUAUAUAUACCAGACUUAAUAAAUAAAAAUAAAUAUAUUAAUUGGGACGAAAGUAAAUUUAAUAUCACAUCAUCUAUUUCCAUACUUUUUCACUUCCUUGCUCUUAUAUCAAAUGUACAAAACUAUCAUUUCCACUAUGACAACCCUUUUUUAAUAAUUCUUCAAGAUGUUAGAAUUUUUAUUUAAUAUUAAAUUUAUUUUUAUCCAUCAACUUAUUCUAUUACGUCAAAUAGUGACUUAACAUGAUAUCUGAUCAGGUGGCCCCGUGUUCAAAUUAUUAUUAUUUUAUUUUCUUUCUAUUUUUUUUAAACAAAAAAAAUAUAGAAGGUAGGAAUCAAGAGGUGCACUUGAGAAGUACUCGGCAAUAAAUAAAAAAGCAAAAUUAAGACGCUACAGACAAGCCUUCUAAUUGAUAGUUAUAAUUACAAAAAGAUGAGACAGACAAAUAAAGAUGAUAUCUCUACGCCAUGAGUGGGAGGAAGUGUUAGAUAUUUUUAUACAAUACUAUUUGAUUUUGGAUUUGGGCAAGUUGAUGGAGUGUUGUAUGUUUAUGUUAAUUGGAGUGUACUUAUAUUUUCUUCUAACCCUUGAGAAUGUAGUUAAAAAUAAAGAUAUCAUAUAUUCUUUUAACAGUUUAGAGAGCGAGAUGGAAUGAGUAGAAACAAUUGUGAAUUAAAUUGGAAGAAAGAGCAGUUAGAUGGAAAGAAAAAGAAAAGCCAUAAUGUGCGACUUUAUGUCGAAAAGUAGGGGAAAAAGAAGAGAAAAAAGAAUGGGAAAUUCCCCAUUUUCACUAUUUGUGUUUCUUGCUUUCACUUUCAAACACAGCAACUUCUGAUAAUUCAUUUGUUGUUAACUUUUACUAAACCCUAAACCAAAAAUUGUCUGUCCCUUUCCACUGUUUUAGACAUACUUUGUCGAGUGGAGUGCCCUAAAUUUAGGGGGUCACUCUCACUCUUCUCUGUAAUAUCAAUUCUAAAACUCAAUCUUAUCCCCUCCUCUUCAAUCUAAUAUAUCAUAACACAUUACACAUUUCUCCUUCUAAUUAUUGUUCGUUUUUCUUUUUCUCCUUUUUCCUCUUUUCCUCAUGUUCCACACUCUAAAUUAUCAUUUCUCUAACAAUUUUGACACCAUUCCAUCCUAGAUUUAAGUUAUGAGAGGUACGAUUAAUUUUAAUUAUAUCCACACACUUCAAAGUAUGAGGUUAACUCAGACUAUAAUUUGAUAUUAUAAUGACCAUUUUAUAAUAUUUUUCUUUUUUCUUUUCUUCAUUUACUUGUUUCUUGAUUUUUUAAAAUGAAAAAAUUUGAAGAUUUAUAUAUAUGUGUUCGAUAAUUCCUUUUAAUACAUGAGGCCGGACAUGAAACCUCAAGGUUGUAGUAUUAUAUGUCGUUGUUUCUUGUUUCUUGAAUUGAAAUAGACUUGUCACACGAUGUAAUGAAAUAAAAAAAAUUAUAAAGAGUUUAUAUAUAGAACUAUUUAAUAUAAUUUCAUGUCGAAAAAAACGGUAAAAAUAAGGAUAGUUGCAAAUUUAGCGAUUAGAUUCAAAAUAAUUAAAUAUAUAGCGACAUUUUAAAAAAAUUGUAAAUAUAGCAAAAUUUGUCAAAUUCUAUCAAUGAUAGAAGUCUAUGACUAAUAGACCAUGUUGUCAAUAUUAGGUAUAUCACUGAUAAACCCUACGAGUCUAUCAGCGAUAGAUUUUGCUAUAUUUGCAAUUUCUUUUAAAUUGUGUUAUAUCAUUAAUUAUUAUUCAUAAAAUGGCUAUCAAUUACAAUUAUCCUAAAAAAAAUUUAUAAUACAUUUUAGGAAAAUGAUUGAAAAUGGCAAAAUUGCUGAAAAUAUUUACAAGGUAUAAAGAAAUAUUAUAUUCUAUCAACGAUAGACACCGAUAGAAAUCUAUCAAUGUCUUUAAAUGCAUUGAUAGACAAGGAUAAGAGUCUAUCAAUUUCUAUCAUUGAUAUCAUCUGAAAAUUUGUCAUAUAUUUUGUAAAUAUUUUUGUUCAUUAUACUAUAUUUCAAAAUGUCUUUAUAUUUUAUCAUUUGAAUAUCGUUAAUGGAUUUGAUAUGCAAUGUUUUCUCUUAGAAAUAGCUAUAAAUAUAGCAAUUAGAUUCAAAGCAUCAACAUAUGUAGUAACAUUUGUUAAAUAAUUGCAAAUAUAGUAAAAUUUGUCAAAAUCUAUCAGAGUUUAUCACAAAUAGAAGUCUAUUAUUAAUAGAUUUUUCUAUAUUUACAAUUUUUUAAUAUUAUUAUAUAUUUAAUUAUUAUUUCCAAAAUUGCUAUCCAUUAUAAUUAUCUAUUUCUCUUAUCUUAAUUCAUUUAGUUCGAGGGAUGUAGAACUAUAUAUAUGAAUAAGUCCAAAUUAGACGUGUUAAAAAAUUGUCUAACAAAAUUUUCAAUGACCAAUAAUUUAUUGCACAAUAUAAUAGAUAUUUAUCUGUUAUGACUUACGAGGAAAAUUCAUAGCUCGUUUUCAAAUAUAACUAGAAUAUUUACUAGUAUACUAAAAUAUCAAAGAUUCUAUCGAUGUCUAUCAUUUAUUUGAAUUUGAUAUUUUAAUAUAUUUAUAAAUAUUUUGAACAAUUUUAUAUUUACAAUAUUUUCUUCUUAAAUUAUCAAAUAUACUUAUAUUUAUUUAAUUCAAUAAGCUUUAUUUUUCUUUUCUUUAAAAAAUGCACAUGUUUUUCAUUAAGGGAGUCAUGAAACAGGAAAUAAAAAUGAGGCAGAAAAACCUUCUUUUUUCUUUGAAAAUUAAUUGUAAACAUCUUAUUACCUUUUUUAAGAAACAAACGUUAAAAUCCCAUGAAAAAAAUAUUAAAAAUAACAUAGAUUUAAAAAGGAAAUAAUAACUAAAAUUUCAUUCAUGAAAAUAAGUGAAAAAAAGGAGAAUAGAAAUAAGAAAUAUAUAAAAGAAAUGAAAAAAGAAAAAGAAUAAUAAAUUAAAAAAUAUAUUUUUUAUUAAAAAAGACUAGGAUGAAAAGAGAAACAGAAAAUUUAGUAUAGGUCCAACGGACUCAAUCCCCCUCCACUUUAUAUAAUAUGUAUUCAUAUGUGUGUAUAUAUGUUAUGGUGUAUUUUUCUUUUCGCCCCUUCGUUGACAUGGUGUCUUUGGCUUCUUAGUUGCUUUUGUGUCUUGCGAAUUUCUUGCCUUAUUGGUUUACUUGUUACUUGGCUCUUUCCUUUUGUGAGGCGUCUUCCUUGACAUGGUUGGUAUUUAUAUGUUUGAACGAGGUGGUGUUAGGACUAGCCAAAUAUGUGUAAGAACUAAUUUUUGCAUAUAGAAUUGAUAUUCUUCCUAUGAUAGAAGUUUUUGUCAAGAUUAAAAACUUGGUUACGUGGUUCGUAAGGAACAAUGAGAGGGUAUGUAGGUGAAGAUUUUGCAAUAUUCGUUUGAUUAAGGGGAGCCUUGAUCAUUCAACCCACUACGAGAACAUCAAGGUUGGGGGAGCAUAUAACUUCGUGUGAAAAGUUAUGUACUUCUUAAACAUUAUUUAAGCAUUGUUCUUAUCCACAUGAGAAACUUUUUUAAUAUUAGUGAUUAUAUAUCUUUCAUCCAAGCAUAUAGACUUCCAGACGUAGGUAUUUUUUAAAUGUUUUGUGAUGAAAGGGUUGAAAAGAAAUCCAAAGGACUAGCUUUUCAAGUCUUCUCAUCUAAGGAUCAAGUGCUGAAAAAGAAGACAAAUUCAUACGAGAAUUUAGCUGAAUCCAUAUCUCUCCUGGCAAAGAAGUUUGGAAGAGCUCUUAAGAGAUGGGAUAAGAGAUUAGACCCAAGAGGAAAUUAUGUCGACCCUUAUGUCAAAAAUGUUGGUAGCAGUGGCGGGAACAAGUCGCUCAAAUCUAAAAAAAUCUUUUGAUCAAGGAGGCAAUCUCAAUCAAAAUUGGAGUAGCAACCAAACGAUUAAAAAUGAAUCUAGAAGAUGUUGAGAAUGCAAUAGGUUCAAACAUUUUCAUGUUAAAUGUCCUAACUACUUACGGAAACAAGGACAGUGGUAUUUUGUCAUGCUAUCUGAUGAAGAGACUCAUUCAUGUAUUGAUUCGGAUGAUGAAGUUCAUGCCUUAAUAGAUAAACUUGUUAUUCAUGAUACAUGUUAAGCUUCGAUUGUUGAAGAAUCUAACUCUGCCAAGGUUGGUCCUUCUGAUGUUUCCUUAAGGAAGAAAGUUUGUGUGAGACUUUGGUCGCACUUUGACCUACGCGUUAAAACUAUACGCAACAAGAACUAGUCACAUAUUAAAAUUGUGUGCGAUGGAAACUAGUGACUGAAAAACUUGCAGGUAAUCUGCAUAUCACGUUCUAACUAUGUGAUGAGAAGGAGUUGUUCAAUAAACUAUGAGCCGAUGUGAGCUUCCUUCACCAUGAAGUAGUUGACAUCAUAAGGUCGGUGAAUUGAUUUGACCUUAUCGUCCAACUAAGUUCAGGAUAAGAGGUGGCAGUAACACAUGGUGCUUUGAUAUUUGAUGAUUUUUAGUGCCAACAAAAGUAAUCAUUCUGGCAUAGGAAGCUUCAUUGGAGAAACUUAAAAAUAUGUGAGGUUUGGUAAUUUGAGAAUUAUUUUUUGAAGCAAUUUCAAAGAGAUUUGGGAGCUAUCGUGAAGUUAAGAUUCAGAAAGGAAUUCUUGGCUAAGAGCUCACAAAGGAGGCUAACUUAUUUUGAAUGGUUUCUUCCCAAAAUGAUUUUAAAUCAAAUGAAUUUCUAUUAUGAUGAAAUCUUGGUAAAUUCCUCUCAAUACUUAAGUUCAUUGAUUUCUAUUAAGUUUCUCAACAUCUUAAAAGUAGAUUUUAUUUACAAUUGAAUUGGAUUUAAAAAUGAAUUUGAAUGAUCGUUGCGAAAUGAUUUUGGCACCCUCUGCGAUAAGAUUUCCUCACACUUGCUUUUGUAUUCUGAUGUGGGGUGCUCUAUUCUUGUUGUGUGUUCUGGAAUAGGAUGCCUCAUAUUUUCUUUAUGCGUUCUAGUAUGUGAUGUCUUAUACUUGCUUUGUGUUCUGGUAUAAGAUGUUCAUUGCUUGCUAUGUGUUCUAGCAUUGGAAGACGCAUUAUGUAUAAUGGAAUUGAUAGAAAUUAUUGUUGUUGCUUUGAGAAAACUCCACAUGCAUGGCCACAAAAUCUGAGGAGGGUACAAAAGUCCUUAUAUGAUUUGACGUUAUGAAUUGUAAAGUGCGUUAUGCGAAAUGCCUUUAUGUGAUACGAUUUAUUAUAAAUGUUUUGCAAGGAAAUAGUCUUUAAAUGAUUUAUAAAUAUUUGUUAAUGAGAUUUGAAUCGUGUAGCCUGAGACAUUGAAAUGACUUGGUUGAACUCAUAGUUUUAUUAUUGAAUUGCAUACCUAUUUAUAUCGCAUGGUUUUGCAAAAAGAAUUGCAAUGCGUGAUGGCGAAAAUUUAUUUAUUACAUGUGUUGGUGAAAAACCCCAGUUAGACUCUUUUGGUCUAAUCCUUCAAAUGUUUUAUUUUAUUCCCCUCCCUCCACCUCCCUCCCACAGGCAGCAAAGGACAUCUAAUGUUUAACUUGCCAACUUGAACGCUUGAUGUGCCAUAAACGUGUCGCAUCAUCCUGGUAGUUUAUUUUAAUAAUUUUAUUUAAUGAAUGUAAGGAAAUAAAAAGUAUUUUUAUAUUUUUAUACUUAUCAAAACAAAAAUAUUUACUAUACUUGACGUUAAAAAAAAUGUCAUGUAAAAUAUGUACUAUAUUUGACGUUGGAAAAGCGUCAAGUAAAAUCUAACGUAAAAUAAUUUUAAAAUCGUAAAAAUUUUGCUUUCUUCAAACUAUAUUUGACGUUUUUUUUGCGUCAAGUAAAAGUUCGCUAUACUUGACGCGAAAAAAAACGUCAAGUAAAAGCUAACGUAAAAUAGUUCAAAAAAUUAUGUGAAAACUCCUCGUUUUUGAAACUAUACUUGACGUUUUUCCUUUAAAAUGGUCAAUACUUUACGUUUUUAAAAAAACGUCAAGUAUGUAAAAGUGUCAAGUAAAGUAGAUCUUGCAGUAAUGCAAUGAAUCAUCAUGUUAAAGUGAAUAAAAUUUAUUAAUAUGUUCAAGAAAAAGUUAAAUGCAAGGACUAAAUAAUGAGAUUUUUAAAUAAAAUAGUAGCCAAUAGUUUUUAACAUAUAUACAAGUACGUGUUUAUAAACAUAUGAUUGUAAAUCAUGAUAAUGAAAUUACUCUUAGUGUUAGCGAUCAUGCAAGUAAAAUGAUAUAAUGAUUAAAUAAUAACAUAUGAUAUAUUUAUUUUCUAAAAUAAAAAACUUUUCUUUUGACAAAUAUUUCCAUUCUUUAAGUUUAUAUUUGCAAAAAAAAAAAUAAUCAUUAACGUUAAAACAUUAUUAGUUAUUUAUUGAAUGAGGCAACAAAAAUACCUUAGUAAAAGUGUGACUUCUUAGGAAGAAAUCAAAUUUUACUUAACGCAAUUUUUAACCAGAUAAAAUGGAUAACAAUAUGGUUAUAUGAAAUGAAAAAAUUAUUAGAUAAAACUCAAUCCAAAAGUUGUAUGAAAUCGUCAAAAUUAAUCAUUUAUUCAUAGCAUAUAGUGAUUUAAGAGCUUCUCUUUUCUAAUUAACUAGUCAAAUUUGUUUGAUGGCUAUCAAGUAAAAUGUUCAAAUUGAUAAAGUUAAAACUUUUUAUUAUUUUCUUAGAUUGUUUUUUUUUUUUACUUUGGAAAAUUUUCCCCUUUCCAAAAUAACUUUCAAAACAUUCAAGCUUUAAUAAGAAAAAAAUAUGCAUGUUGUUUCACAAAAAUAAGUUGAAGAAAAAAAAUGAAAGUUACACAAUAGGUUUUCUUUUUUGCCAAAUUCUUUUUUUUUCUUGAAAAAGAAGAUUAGUGCUAACACAAAGUCAUAUUCUUCUUAUACGAUCAUAUUUCUUUAGUAUUUCAAAAAAUCAUUUUUAGUAUUUCAAAGGAUCAUUCUCAAAACUUUAGAAUUUAAAGUUAAUGUUAUUUAAUCCUAACAUGAUUUUUUUUAUUUAGAUUUAAAUAGUUAAUAUAUCAAGAAAAUUUAUUAAAUGAUACUAAAUAUUACUUGAUAUAUAUUUUUGUUUAGGAAAAAGAAAAGUUGAAUAAAUAUGUUUUUCAAAAAAAAUUUAAAAAAAAGUACUAAAUAUACGAAGAAAAGUUAUUGAAUUCUCUUAAAAUAUAUAUUUUUUAAAUAUGAAAAAAAAAUUAUAAAACUUGAACAAAAUUACGAAGAUGUUAAUUGAUUAAGAAAAAUCAAAAGUGGCAAAUGAAAUGUUGUUAAGUUUUAUUAAAAAAAUUUAUGCAAUUGUGAUAGUUGAACCAACUUAAGUAAAAAAACCAAUCAAUGAAAUUAAAAUGAAAUAUAUGUGCACAUGCAUGUUGUAAUACACUAGUAUAAUGCAUAAAAGAUUUAAAACUGAGAUUAAUUCUAAAAUCCCUAAACGAUAAAGGUUCCCAAUUUGGUCAAAGUCAUAUACGACGAAUUGACCAAAUUGAUUGAGAAUUUUUCGUGUGCCUGCACGGAAGCAUAAGCUUCUCGAAGGUCAACAUUACUUUGUUCUCAAUUCUAACUUAUGAAGGUAAAGCCUGGGUAGGAGGCUCGUGAUUGUAUGUGUAAUAAUUAAAUGCACAAUAACUACACACAAUAAACUUAGAAUAAAAUUAAAGAAUAAAAUAAUUCAAGAUAAAAGAGAAAAUUGCCAAACUCUCGAGGUAAAGCCUCAUGUCCCCCGCGGAGUCGCCACAUGCCCGAGACAACGUGGAGCGGCUAACGUCCUCAAAAGAGUUUGUUUUAAAAGAAAAUAGAAGUCGUCGUCAAUCUUUUUUAUAGUAUGAUUGGACAUUGAAAUAAAGUAAACAAUUUCUUUAAAAAAAUGGUAUGCAAAAAAUAGAGUUGAGUUCGAGAGUCAUUUGUGUGUGGAAAAAGGUAUUAGCACCCCACAACACCCAUUUAGAAAAAACGGUGGUCAAAUUUUAAAUUUUGAAUUGAAAAUAUUUUUUUAUUUAUUUUAAAACUAAUGUCUUAUUUCACCACUCAAGACUACAAUAUUUGAAGCAAUGAUCUCAUAUAAUAAGUGGAAUAAUAUUUCAUUAAUUAGAUUAUAUAUUGAAGGAAAUUUCUCAACUUAAGAAAAUGAGUAAUUAUUACAAUUUCUCAAAAUUCAUCGUAGUAGCUAGUCUUGGAAUAUUUUUUUCUUAAAACAUCGAUUAAAUUUAUUUUUUCUUGUGAUCACAUCUUGGACUUUCAAAGAUGUGAUCCCUCUCUUACCUUAUGAAUUCUAGAAAAUUGGACUUCCAAAUUUUCUAGAUUCUAUCAUAGGAUUUUAUUUAAAGAAAACAGUUAAACUAUUAGAAAAGAUUGAUUUAAGAAACUUUAUGAAAUCAUAGAUAAAAAUUUGAAUGUUUUGAAAAGCAUAAAAAAAUUUAUAACAUUAUAGACAAAUUUGCUAAAUGAUUAAAAAUAAUUUUUAUUUUAAAACAUAAACAAAUUUUAAUUGAAAGGAUUUUUAAAACAUUAAAAAUUUUAAUACAAAGAGUUACAUUUAAGUGCAUUGAACAAUAAUUAUUAUUAUGAUAGUAACGUGAAUAAGUAAAAAAAAGAAAACAUAAAAUAAAUUAAGGAAAGAAAAAAUGAAUGAAUAAAGAAAGAAAGAAUUGGAAUGAGUUAGAUUAUUUUACUUGAAGAUUUGUCUAAAUUUAAUUGGAGAAUUUGAUCUGUGGAUUUUUUCCAACCUAGGUUGAAUUGGUUCCAACCUCCUUCAUUGGUACGAUUGAAAGCCUAAGUAAUUAAUUGUUUGAUGUUGGUUGUCAAACCAUUAAUUCAAUUACGUUUAUAUUUAGGAUUUUGUUUGAUUGGAAGUUGUGACUGUUAGGAACAAUUUUUGUUAAGCAAAUCGCUAGGUAAGAGAUUCUACUAUUAGACCUUCGACAGUAGACUAAAGGGCUUGCAUGUAUUUUUCCCUUUUUAUGCAUUAAUAUAGCUAGGAUGCAUAAUGUGACUGUUAGGGAUGACUGACAUAGAUGGCUACAUAGAUGACCGUUAUGUAUGACUGAGAUAUAUAUGGCUGAGAUAUGUUACGACCGAGAUAUGUUAUGAAUGAGACAUGCUAUGACUUAUAUUAUGAUUGAAAUAUGUUAUGACUGAGAUAUGAUAUUCAUGAUAUGCUACAUGUUAUAGGCUAUGGUGUUCUAUUAAUUUUGUCUGUUGGGAUCGUACCCAUAUGGGUGUCCUUCGAGAUCACCACCUAUUUAUGCUUGUGUGGCUAACUAUUUAUGUUUGUGUGGUCACUUUCAACCCAAUUCUCUUAGGCUUUUCUUCAGGAUCAUCGAAAAGCAGAUGUGUUCCUUUAGGAUCACUAGAUAGCGUGUGUUUGGGAGCACGAUAGUUAUGUGGUACUUUCUUACAAGACACUAACGGGAAGUUAACAGACACCUAACGGGACUAUUAGUGGGUCUCUUACUUAGUAUAUGUUUAUACUCACUCUUUCUAUGUUUAACUUUUCAGGCAAAAGUAGAAGUAGAGGAAAGUUGGCGAAUGACAAAAAGUGAUCGUAGUUUGCCAUAGGGAAAAGCUUAUGAUUGUUAGCCUUUGAGUUUUCAACAUUUUGAUUUACAAUACUUUAUUUAAAAUUUUAGAACUCAUGAGUAUUCUUAUGAUUUUAAAUAGGGUCUAAACUAGUAUUUGACCUUUACUUUUAUUUCUCCAUAAUCUAUUUAUGAUUUAUAAAUAAGUAUUUGAGGAUUUUAUCGAAAGAUUUAGUGCAUUCUUUUAUUUAUUUAAAUCUUUUUUAGAAAAGCUUUAUUUAAUUUAAUAGUAAUGACAUCAGCUUAGCAUAAAGAGUUGAAUCGUUACAAAAGGUCAUAUUUGUCUGUAAUUUUUCAACUUUAUGGCACACCUACGAACAAAAAUCAAAUAUAUUUUGUUUUCCCAGAGAGGUAUAUACAUACAUCAUUUACUUGUGCACCUAAAAAAACUUUGAAUGGCAGAUAAAAGAUAAUACUUAUCUUGGGGAUGUUAAUUAUAACGUAGCAUUUACGUCUCUUCAUACAUUAGUUAGAGAUGAUAGUGGUUGCUCCAUGUAUAUCACAAGAGAGAGAAGAAUUUUCUUAACUGAUCUAAAGUCAUGUGUUCCUGAACAUGAUAUUUUUGGUGAUGGUGGCAAAGGAAUAGUUCAAUAUCUUGGACUUCCUUCUCUCAAUGCUAUUAUUAUUGUGGAAGGCUUACCAAUGUUAAUUUCUCAAAAGGAAGAUGUCUAAUGACUAAUAGUGAUAAGUUCCAUCAUAAAAGGAACACAAUCCUAUGACAAUUGUUACUCUCAACUUCUAAUGUUUUUAAACUUGGUUGCAACAUCCCCAACCACAGUGAAGUUCAAUGAAAUUGUGCUUUCUUCCCAAAAUGUAUAUCUGUCCUAUAGAAACUAUAAAAAAAAAUUAACUAGGAAAAUCAUAAUAGGUCAAGUUAAUCUUUAGAAACAGAGUGAAUACUUGUCAAUGUUCUCAAAUAUAUGACUUUAAAACAUGUGUUGUUUAGAUUACUAUCCUCACAAAGCUUGUCAUUGGUUGUGCUAAAAUAUUUGUUGAAUCUCGUGUGAUGUGUGAUGAGAUUAUUGAUAAUGUUGCUCUUGCGAAAUUUGUGGGUAAAAUCAUUGUUGUCUCAUCUAAAAUCUUGAUGAAGGGUAAGUCAUUUUAUUCUAAAAAGGUUACUAUUACUGUUUUUGUUGACGUCAAUUGUGUUUUUUAGGUUAAUAUAAAAGUUAUUAUUGUUGCUUCAACAAGUUGGACGAUUAUUCUGAUAAUGUGUUAAAGGAUGACAUUGUUUCUUUUAAUGUAUCUUCUAGUGUUGUUUCUAAAAAUUGAUCUUCUGAUUUUGUGGUGUCUCAUAAUUUGUUGAUAGUAUUCUCAUUGAUCAAAAUGUUGUGAGUUGUAAUGGUCAAGAUGAGAAUGGGUGUAAAGAUUUUUAAGUGUUGAAUGUUGUGCCAAUGUAUCAAUACGAAGAAGGAUGACGUUGAUUUUGUUAUUGAUAAAACAGUUUUGGAUUUGAGCAUGAAAUAUGUAGAUCCUAAGGGGCUUUAAGGAGGUUAGUAUAUCUUAUAUUCCAACCGUUAGUCAUGUUGAUGUUGAAUAUGUUAGAAAAAGAAUUGUGGCUAAGAAAGAGGCUCUUGAUCUAUCUCAUAAUAUUGUUUUAAAUAUUGUUCUUUAUGGAGUUGCAUUAGAGGAUUCGGGCUUUUGAAUGCCUUUAUUUGGUUUGACGGAUGUUUAAUUGUUACGUUGUUAACUUCGGCUGUUUUUUUGUAACUUAAUAAACAAAAGGGAGAGAAUGAAUGUGGUUGUGUGUUUAAUGGUUGUUGGUUUGUCUAUCAGUUUUUGUCUAAUGGUUAUUGGUUCGUUUAUAAAAAAGACGUGGUUGUUGGUUUUUGUAUGGUUUUAAAUUUUUCUAAUAGUUGUUGGUUUGUUAAUUAAAGACGUUGAUUUGUUUUGCCUUAAAAAAUAACCACAUUAUUACUACAGUUGAUCCGCUAAUUUUAUUAAAGGCAAAACUUGAGUCACAGUUUGUUCAGAUUAUACUUUCUAUAUAUGAAAGCAUGAUUUGUACCCUUCAUUGAAUCUUUAUUAUUAUGCAAUAUUUGCUUUCCUUAUUUUUCUGUAAAUAAUAUUUAUUCUUUCCAUAUAUUUUUCCAAAGAAAGUCACAUUUAUAUGGUGCUCUUAUUCAUUUUAAGGGCUAGCUGCACAUUAGAAAAGUUUAUACAUUGAAAGUUUUAAGCUUAGGAAUUGUCUAAUAAGCCUCAACCUUCUUGAAUUGUUCUUGAAAAUUCUUGUACUUAUCAUUGAGAUUUUUAGUUUGGUAGCCAUUGUAGAACUCAUAAGGAGUUAGAUUUAAUAUUGUAUUUAGGGGGAGUUUAAGUUGAAACGUUGAAGAACAAGCUAUAGGGAAGUCAUUAAAGAUGAAGACUUUGUGAGAUAAGUACUUUUGUUGUAAUUGCUAAACUUUUUAUAUAGUGAACUUUCAUUUCAUCGGACACGCUGCUCCCAGAUGUAUGAUUUUGCACCAAACUGAAUUAUCAAUCUUUAUGUCGUUAUUUUUCUGUUUGCUCCUUUUAAUUGCCUACUUAUGGUACGUAUUUUCUUUGACAUUGUGCUUAAAGUUGUGUACAAUGCAAGUGUCCUCUUAUUAGAUCCACUUGCAGUUUACUGAAUUUUGUAUAAUGUUCUUGGGAAAAAGCAACAUGUCGUUUGUCAAGUCAAUUCUUCAAAAACGUCUUGAUAUAGCUGAUAUGAUCUCAUAAUAUCCUUUGUUGUAAUUAUGAUACUUCCACCUUUUGUUUGUAGAGCUUUCCUCUAACUCAACUAUGAUUGAAACCUUCAAAUUCAAGUCGGGCCGUAAUGAUCAGUAAAAACAUAUAAAAUAAAAUUGAGAAGAAAAAAAAAACAACAAUAUUAGAUUCCAUGAUAUCCACUCCACAAUAACAUUCGGUUCUAUUUCGUUCAUAUCAUAACCAAAAAAUUGCAUGAAAAAUCUAAACAUACUUUUUCACGAGAAAAGUUCAAAUUUUCAAAUCAUCUACAUGAAAAAUGUUAAAAUUAUUCCCAUUUUUUUAGUUCAAUAAAUUCUUUCUAAUUUAGAUUCGCACGAAAAUGUUACAUAUCAUUUUAAUCCAUUUAUUUUAAUAAAUAUGCUGUUAAGUCAUAACCUAAACAAAUGUGAUCAGCUAGGCAAUUAUUGGUAAAAGAAAAUUAAAAAGUAAAAAACAAUUAUCAUCCUAAACAAUUUUCGUUAAAUAAUACCUAAUAAAAGUUUUGAAAAAUUUGAGUAGACUUGAAGCUUUUUGAAACAUGAUAAAUUAAUAAUGGCUUCCAUAUUAAUUUGUCAUGUUAGGGUUUAGGGUUUAGCCUAAUUUAGGCUAAAAAGUAUAAGUAGAGGUAGCAAAGUUUUAGGGGGGAAAUGACAUAUGGUGCCAAAUUAGGGUAGGAAAGUUGAGUUAUAAACUUUAGGGAAAAAAUAAUGAAAAUAAAAAAUUGAAAGUUCAUGCAUCUCAUAAGAGCAUGAGACGUGGAAAACCACUUAGAUUGGGGAAAAAAAAAAGAAAAGAUAAAAGGGUAAAUCUUUAUGAAAAGUUGAAACCAAAUCUUGUUUCAAAUCAAAAGCAUAUAUAAACAGUAAAGAAGAUCUAAAUUAUGGGAGUUGGAUUCUUUUUUUCUUUCAUCACCCUUCAUGCCCUCACUCAUCAAAACAAUUGUAUUCUCCACCUUUUUAAGAUAUCAUUACCAACCCACCAACUAAAACAAAUAAAAUCUUCAACCAUUUUAUUAUUAUUUUCUUUUUUUAAUUAGAGAAAAAAACUACUUUAAUAACCUCUCAUAGGCUUAACCUUAAUGAUGUUUUACAUAUGUUUCUUCUUUCUUUUCUAUAAUAGCUAGAUUCAUUUAUUUAGUAAUGGUUUAACCCGGAUUUGUUAAGAUUUUGGGUGUGUGUGAAUGUAGUGAGAUCUAAUUAUUUAUUUAUUUAAACUCAGUUUUUGAAUCAACUCAACAUUCCAAAUCCUCUCAUUCAUUCGUUUAGUUAUUUAAUUCUUUCUUGUUCAUCUCACAUUAUAUAUAUAUAUCAAAACCACUUAACAAAAUCUCACAUUAUAUGUCUUUAUUCUCUUUUGGAGAAAUAUUUUUCUUCAAAAGUAUAAAAGAAAAAUGUUUUUAGAAUCAUAGUUGAGAAUCAAAAUCCUUCCCAACUUUUUCAGCAAAUUAUGCAUGGAGUUGUAUACUUCAAAAAAAAUGUAGAAAUGCCAGCUUAGAUGAAUGAAAAGCACAUACACUUCCUAAUUAGGAAAGAAAAGAAAUGCUAUUUAAGAAACACUUAGAAAAGAAAAUCAUGAUUAAUGGUGUUGCUUCACCUCCUAAACUUAUUGUAAUUAAUUAAUAUAAGAAAACAGCAUUUUAGGGUACAAAUUAGAGAGAAAAUUAAUGAAGAAGAAAAUAAGGAAAUGAUUGACUUAGGUUUAGGCCACAAAUCACAUGCCUAGUACAAAGCAAAAUGAGUUUGUCGGCAACUUUUUGAACCCUAUUGUGUCUUAGGCACAUAACAAAGUUACAUGCAUGAUAACAUAUAAUUAAAUAUAUAUCUGUGUAUAAAUAUUAAAAACAAAGUUGAAAAUCAUGACAAGAUGGAUCAUAAAAGAAAAAAAAAAUCAUGAUUUAAGAAAGUUGAUUGGGUAAAAAGGCUAAAAGGGAAGUGUUUUGUGUUGUGUGUUGAUUUAUUACAAAGCAACAAGGGAUACCUCUAAAUUCCAUGAGAGUUUUUUAAGAAAAGUUUAUUAGAUUCCUUAAUUGAUUAAUUAUAUUAAUUAAUUCUUUAAAAAAGAAUGAAUGUGUGUUUUUGGUUUCCCAAUCCAAAAGCAAGAUGUUGGCAUGAAUGAAAAGUAAAUAUUUUAUAUAAGUUUAUGAGAGAGGAUGAAGGGUUUUGUGUCUAAUUAAAAUGUUGAAAAGGGUAAUAAAUUAAUUAGCAAAUUAAAGUUAGACUAAAUAAUGUUUAGGUAAAACACUUGGAACCCCAUGGCUAUGUGUCCCCUCACUGGCCAUCUUGUGGGCCUUAAAUGCCACAACCAAUAACCCUCUUGACCCAAAGCCAUAACAAUGCAAGUUCAAAAAUUUUAAAUUUUUUUUUUUUAAAAAAAAAGACCCUUUCAACUUGGGAUGAUGAUUGCACUCAUAUGGGGUAGGGGCAUACUAAUCAACCUUUUCACUUUUAUUCAAGCUUUUUUAUUUUCUUUUUUUGAGGGGUUUGAUCCCACAGUUUCAAAGAAAAAUGGUAUAAGACAAUAAGAUUGAGGGGUUUUUUUAGGAUAGAAAGAGAGAGUUUGGUUGGGUAGCUACCAAGAAAUGUGGGGAACAUAUUCAUGUAUAAUUUGAAAACCAACAAAAUGUUUAAUUUAAAUUCCAAAGGGUCAGGUGUGUGGGUGUAGAGUUGGACUUUGUUUGUUCUGCAUGUGUUUGGAUUUUUUCUUUUUUUUUUUCUUUCUUUUGUUAUUAUUAUUAUUUUUAUCCAAAGGGUAUUCUACUUUCUCUUUCCAUCAUUGCAAGUCAAAUCAUCAAAAAAAAAAAAUAUUCUCUUUUGACCAUACAUAUAUAUAAAAAUGCGUAUACUAUUCAAAUGAGUGAGCGACCGUUAGUUUUGAAAAUGAAUGUACCAUUUUUUAUGCAUUUCAUUUUAUUUUAAACAAACAAAAGAAAUAUUUAAAAAAAAUAAGAAAAGUUUAUCGCUUAACAAAUCGUGUUUGAACAAUCCGAUACGAGAUAUACAGAGAUAUGUGAAGUUAAUAAUACGUCUAAGUUUUUUUCGGAUUUAUUUGCAUGUUUUUGUCAUUCACCAAUUAUAAAAUAUAAAAUAGUGUCAUUCAUUUUAUAUGGUUGAUUGCUUCACCAAACAAAACUCUAUUGUGUGUCAUGUUAUUUUGUAGCAUAGAAUUUCCCUUUUGUCAUAACAUAAAUGUUGGGCUAUAAAGGUGCUGACUGUCUAAGUAGUGUUGUACACAUAUCAUUUCAAACACAGGUUUACUAAAUAUAUUAGAUUCUGUUGUUGCAUUGUUUCUUUAUUGAUAGGAACUCAUGGUUGUAAGUUGGGGUUACGUAAUUUGGUUAACUAUGAUCAAUCAACUUGAUUUUUGGUAAGGAAACCACUUUAUUUUUGUUUGGUUUUAAUUUUGCCUAAAAAGUUGAGAUACAUCUCUCGGUUGACAUAUACGUAAUAUUUGCACAAUAACAUAUAACAUAGAUCAUAUCUGUCAAGAUUUCUAGAAAUGAAAACAAUACAAGAAUAGAUUGUAUAUAAUGAAAAGUAAAAGUUACAAUAUAUAUAUAUAUGUAAUAGAUGAAAGAGAUGAAUAGUAGUGUAUUUGGUGGUGAAAGGUGAGGAUAUUUGGUCCCAUUUGGAAAAAGGAAUCUAAAAGUGAGUGUGUUGUCUCCCCAAAAAUUAAACCCCAUGAAGAAUUGGAAAGUGAUUUCCAUAAUUGUCUUUCUUUAACAAAUUUUUUUCUUUAGGCCCCCACACUUCCCUCACCGAAACAGAAGUGGAUCAGCACAUCACUCUCCUAUAUAUAUAUAUAUAUGAAUUAUAUUUCUCCUCAUUAUUAUGAUAAUGUAAUGUUAUGGGGUUUCAAAUUACUUGAACAUCCAAAUUACCUACUACUUACUGGCCUAAUUUAAACAUUAGAACCCCUUAGGUUUUCAAUAUGCUAUCUCCCUUUCACUAAUUUGAAAGACAAUUUCAAUUCCUAUUCAAUUGACUACAAAAAAAGGUUCCCCUUUCUUUCAAAAGUAGAUUGGCAGUUUUAUCUAUUGCUUGAAAGUGUCUGGAGGGAAAGGGAUGAUGCUAUUGCACAUUUUUUGCUUUUUAUCUUCUAGGCUUUAUAAAUUGCUAUUAAUGUUUCUUUUUCAAUUAUGUGUUCGUGCUUUAAAUUUAAAAUAGUCUAAGGUUGUUGAAGAUAUUUGCUCACAUAUCUUUUUGACUUCAACAAUUUGUAUAGAAGAAUCAAACCCUCAAACCUCUAAGUAAUGACGUAUCUUAACCAACUGAUUGACAAUAAUCAAUCAAGUUGGCAAUAACUAGAGUAGUAAUCAAGUAUGCAACAAUGCUUAAAUUGUAACUUGAGUAGUGAAAACCCAAUUGUUCAACUCCGGUCUUUUUUUUUUCUUAGUUGGUUCAUUUAUGAUUUGUAAGAACUAAUGAGCAAUAUAAAGGUGAAUUCUACACGUGUAUGUUAUCAAGAAUAUAUCUCCAUAAGAUUAAUUAGCACGAUUCCAUCAAAUAAAUUUAACUUCAAAUUUUCAAAACCAAAUUACACAAACCCAAUCCUGGAAUCAACCAUCUGUUAUAUCAAUAACUUGGUAAAUCAGACUACAUUUAGAGAACUUUUGGAAUACAAAGAAGUUCAGAACCUGAAGUCGUACUACUGUUUCCUUCCUAUUCAAGAAGUCAAUCUAAUAUUAAAGAGGAAUGAUUUAAGAGAAUGAGAUCACGCCUAGGAUGCUUUCCCUUUGAUAGGGUUAUCUCUUUGGGAAUCCAAUCGAGAACAUGCUGAAAGAAUAAUCUCUUGAACCUACUUCCAUUAAGUUUUAUCUGAAGAUAUAAUUGAAUCUAAAAGAAUGAUCAUGGAGGGGCACAAGGUGAGAACAUUUACAAAAAUAUCUUUAAUCAUUCUCAUCAUUUGACAAAAUGUAGAAUGACAUUCAACAUUCAUUAUAUUGUCCUGAUUUCAGUAGAAGGAAAAAUCUAAGAACAAUCAAGACAUAAAUAAAACAAUCACUGGAACACUGAGAUCUUCCCAUUCCAACUGCACGAGGCGAUUACAUUAGGCAAGGUCGGGUGGAUGGCAAUAUCUAUGCAGGCCUGUUCAGAUGCUUUUAGUUUAUGUAUAAGCAAGGAGGAUUUAUAAUCAUAAAAAUAUAUAGAGCCAUCUGAAGACCCAGAGAUGAUUUGCUUGGCAUCAAGGCUGAAGUUACAUUUUAUUGGAAAGCCUGAGACUCCAUGACUUUCAUACCUCUUGUAUUUGUCUAACUUGAAAGGUGGAUUUAGAGAGAAUAUUGCAAUAUAACCUCCAUUUGAUUGGGCGAUAAAAGCUGGAUCAGAGGGGUGACAUCUCACAGAUGGACAAGUAUAGGCUUCCAUAUAAACCUAUUAUGUCACUUUCAAUUAGCUCUUCUGUAUUUCAAACAUGCAUAAUUAAAGUGGGGGGAAAAGAAAACAAAAGAUUACCUUAGGCACCUAAAUGUAUAAAAUAGGUAUCCCUCUAGUUACCACAACAACUGAUCACUCAUGGUAUUAAAGUAAUAACUAUUUAUAUUAGCCACACAGCAGUAUUUGCAAUUAAUUUCAAUUAUGUUUUAUUAACAUGCGGAGGGUAUUGGAUGUAUCUUUUUAAUUAAAAACCACUUGGAAUGAUGGGACAUAAUUAGGUAACAUCAGGGUUUGCAUAAUGUCAAGACCAAAGAUUUUUCUUCAUAUUCAGCUUUAUCACAAAGUAGUUGCAUUUGGAUUAUGCAAAACAAAUGGACGAUGAUAAAUGACAAUUGGAGUGAUGAAAAGGAAAACGAAAAAAGACAUGCCUGAUAUGAAAGCGGAACUUCUCUAGUGACAUCCCAAAUGAUGAUAGAGCUUUCACUGCUAUUGCUCGUGGAAACAUCGCUAGAAGAGAUGAACUGAUUGCUAUUGGGAGUAAACUCAACAUCAAGGAUUGGACCAAGGCGUCGAUUGUAUUUGUUAACCAUUUUUCCAAUUCUCAUAUCCCACAUUCGAAGGCUGCCUUUAAGUCCACCUGAAAGGAAGAGAUUUGGGUUGUUAGGAUGGAACUUUACUACUGCAACGCCUUGAUCCUCCUUGAAUACUCCAACUUCUGUCCCCUUCUCAACAUCAAUCAAUCUUGAAGCACAAUCGUAUCCACAAGAAAGAACAGAUAAUCCUUGUUGUGACCACUGAACAUCUUUAACUGCAGCGUUGUGGAAGUUUGACUUGAAUGCUAGCUUCUGCCCUGUGCUCCAUACGUUCCAUAUGCAGAUUGUGUGAUCCAUAGCAGCAGAAGCAAGGAGAUGAGCUGCAUUAACUCUAACAAACAGAUCAAUAAGCCAAGGCACAAACAUGCUCAAGCCAUAUUAAAUAAUCUGUCUCAUACCAGAAUAAAACAUCCGGCAAUGAUAUUUAAAACUUGAAAGAACCCAAUAGUGAACUCAAAUGUCAAAUAAUUUACUAAAGACGAAAGGAAAUAAGAGGAAGCUCACCAUGACUUGGUGACCAUUGAACUGAAUUGACAGCUUUCCUAUGGCAAUCAAGAAUUACAGACAUCCUUUUAGGCAUCAGACCUUGCUGUAAAUAGUCUUUGGCUCUACUUCUCAAUAGUGACAAGAUAUCACGUGGAAGAUCAGAAUCCGAAAGACUUCCAACUGUUAAAAUUGUAAGCUGGAUUCAUUAGAUUCUUGACAUGGUACAUUUCCUAUAUGCAUUCCUCAAUACAUUAAUAUAUAAUUCUUGGUACAUGAAAGUUCAUUCUCAGUACAUUUCCUAUAUGCCCCUACAGAGAGUUCUUCCCUCCGUAAUCAGGGAAGAAAAAACAAACCAAAUACCAAAGAAUAAUCUUCUUUCUCUUUUAGUUUUGUAAGAGAACAUUAGAGUGAAAUUUAUUGUGCGCAUCAGUGGUUCCAAAAGUGGUAUUAGAGAAUGAAUGGAGCACACAUCAACCUUUUAUUAAUAAAUGCAUCCCUUCCAAAAGUUAAGAUAUGUUGCAUGUAUUGGCUGUAGAAUCAUUAAGGUUAUUUAAGCAGAUGAUCCUAGCAAUAGCAAUAUAAGUUUGUCUCAAAGAUUAAGUGUAAGCAUAGAAUAAGACAACUUACUAAAGCUUCCAUCUGUAAACUCAAUUAAGAAAAGCAUAGUCCUUCCAUCCAUUAGUUGAGUUUACAUUGGUUAGAAGAAUAGUAUUCCUUCAUUGUUUAAUGGAAAUGAUAUGAUUGCAAGCAUAUCAUUAAAAUGAUAAAACGGCAAGCAUAUUACUAAAAUAAAAAAGUACUGAAACUAUAGAAGAAAUUUCCAAUCAUGAUCACUCUAUUUAUUAAUAGAUUGAUGGAGAAAGAAUUGAGGAUCAAAGAGUGGUCGACAAAGUCUGACAAGAUCCUUAGAAGUAUGACAAGAAAGUUCAAACACGUUGUAAUAAAACUUGAAGUGUCCAUAGAUAAGUAAACUCUCCACCCUCCAUCAAUAGCUAAAUGGGAUCCUCUUGACCGAAUGAGCAAAGAAUGGACUACAGUUCUUCUAAGAAAAGGCUUUUUAAACAUAAAUUAAAUUAGACAGAAAUCCAGAGGAUGGAAAGCCCAACAACUUCAAAGAUUCCGAGUCAAAAUAAAGAUAUUCAAACUUGUUCAAACAAGGAAAAAUUCCCCUUUAAAUACUACUCCAUGAGGCAUUAAAAAAGACGACACAUGCAUACAUGCAAUUCUUUUGUCUAAUAAACUAAAUUUUAUUCCCUUAUGUAUCUAUAUAACUUCCACAUUCUCUUCACUAGAUUUCCCCAACAAGAAGCUUCUUUUUCAUCUUCAUGAACAUAACUUAUGAUGCUGUGUAGUAAAAUACUUAAUCUUGAUCAAUACUUCUUUAAUUAAUUAUCUAAUGAAAGGAUAAUUGAUAUUUACUUUCACUACAACGAUGAACCAAAUUGUUCCUUCUUGAGGCCACUUUAGCUCUUGUAGUAGUCUUCUUAAUCGAGGUGCUAUGACGUGACAUACUGGUAAUAUUAUUAUGACAUUAGUAGUAACAUAUCAGUAAUAAGCUAGAUGAAACUUGGUUAUAAAUAGUGGAGUUGAGGUUUUUUGUUCCGUUUUUAGGCACGGGAUCAACAUGGCGAUUCUCUUGUGAGGGAUUUUGGAAGAGACAUAACCCUCUCGAAAGACCAUUGAUAUUAAAAUUUUAUUUACUCUUUUGAUAAAAACAACUUUCAAUAAGAAAAAGAAAAGAAAACAAGGGCACACAACAAAACAAGCCUACCGAAGAAGGGAGCUCCUUCUACAUAAAGGACUACAGCAACGUAAAAUAAAGCCUAUAGAACAAUUACAAAAGGUCUUCAAAAUCAAAAUUCACCAAGAAACAUGAAAGCAAACGAGGGACCAAAUCUUACUAGAGUCACAACCCACUUUCCCAAAUAUCCUACUAUUUCCCUCACUCCACAAAACUCAUAAGAUAGCAAACCCCCAGCAAAUAUAAAAAGUGACCCGUCUGCUUCUGUGUAUUUGUGAAGCAGAUUAAGAAGGAAGUAGGAACACCUCGAUCAUAGCACUAGUGUAUUUGUGACAAGCAUACAAGAAGCCAAACAUAUGAAGAAAAGUCUUGGGCACGACUCACAAACUCAAAAAUAGUAUAGUAAAAGGAAAAUUUUGAAGAAAAGAAGAAAACUGUUACAGAAGUAGAGAAAAGAUUGAAGAAAAAGAAAUGGUGUAUGAAUAGAAGAAAACGUAGAGAAGAAUUAAAAAGAAGAAAAAGAAGUUGAAAAGACAAGACUAUUUCCAGACUGCAUGCAAACUGUCAUGCUACCAAAUCUGACAGCCAAGAGGCAGUAUUCUUCCUCCCAUUAGAUGAAAGGAUUGUUUAAUACUAAGUCUGCUAAUUUUAAUGUAUCUAGAAAUUGUUCAUUUUUUGUAUAAACUAUUCGAAAGUCUUGUUAAUAUUUUCGUUUUCAUUUAUUAAAAAUUCAAGAUUUUUCCUCUUUCUCAAAAGCAGACCGGCAACUUUGGUUUCUUUCCCUCCCAUUUCUAUUUUUUUCUUUUGUAUCUAAUUCAUUUUAUUUUUCUUUUGUAUUUAUUGUAUGCUGUUAUUGUGAUGUUUUUAAAUGUAAUAUUUCACAACAUGUGAACAACAUAAAUUUAUUUUGUAAGAAAAAAAAUGUGUCCUCAAGUGCCUUAAUUUCUCUUGUUAAAGAGUUUUUUAUCAUUUUAUCGUUCUUUGUUUUUCUUUCUUUGCAUGACUUGAUCCUCCCCGGAUCAAAAUUCCUUGUUGUAUUUUGCAAAACUAGGACAGGAGAAAAAGAGAUGAAAAAGAAAGGCUAGACAGCGAAGAACAUUUCAAGAAGAAAUCUGUGCAAAAAGGACAUUUGAAGAAGAGCUUUCAAGAGGAGAAGAAGAAGAAGAAAUUAUGGCUAAUUCUAGCAAAAGUGGACAUGUUGUGCCCAACCUGACACGGCAUCCACUCUGCUUUACUCAAAACGCCGGAUAAUUUUGAUCUUAAAACUAGUCUCAAUCACUUACUACUUAUUUUCCACGGUCUUGCAAGUGAAGACCGACACAAGCACACCAAAGAGUUCCAUGUUAUGUGUUGUGGUAUGAAACCACAAGGAGUGACUGAGGAGAAGCUAAACCGCAUAACUUUUUCCUUCUUCUUGAAGGACAAUGCCAAGGACUGGUCAUGCCUCCUUUCUGCCGGAUCGAUGACAACCUGGGCACAAAUGAAGAAACUCUUCCUAGGAAAGUUCUUCUCGACCUCCAAAGCUACCAAGAGCAGGAAAGAGAUUUAUUGCAUCACUCAGGCUAAUAGUGAGACAUUGGCCCAGUAUUGGGUUGUGCUUCAAACGCCUCUGUGACUAUUUCCCCAUCAUCAUAUUUCAAAUGCAUUUUUGAUACCUCCAAGCAAAGAGGUUGACCAUCAUAUCCACCUGAAAGAAGGAAAGGUUUCAGCGAAUGUAAGACCCUAUAGAUAUGUGUCAGCCAAGAGACAGAAAUGGAAAAAAUGGUGGCCGAAAUGUUGUAUUCAGGAAUCAUUAGACAGAGGUCCAACCUCUACUCGAGUCCAGUAUUGUUGGUAAAAAAGAAAGAUGGAGGUGGAGAUUAUGUGUUGAUUACAGAGCUCUGAAUAAUGUGACCAUUCCUGAUAAAUUUCCAAUUUUAGUGAUUGAGGAGUUGUUUGACGAGUUGAAUGGAGCAUCAGAGUUCUCAAGGAUUGAUCUUAAAUCCAGUACCAUCAGAUCAGAAUGAAUCUGGCAUGUGUGGAGAAGAAGGCAUUUCGUACUCAUGAAGGUCACAAUGAAUUCUUGGUUAUGCCACUUGAGCUAACUAAUGCUCCUUUUAACAUUUCAAGCCUUGAUGAAUAAGGUCUUCAAGCCAUAUCUACGAAAGUUUGUCCUCGUGUUUUUUAGUGAUAUUCUAGUCUACAGUAAAGACUCUGGAGCAUAUUCAAAAUUUUGAAGUAGAAUUUGGAGUUUUACGAGAAGCAAAGUUGUAUGCUAAUAGACUUAAAUGUCAAUUCCUACAAAGACGACAGGAGUACUUGGGGCACAUGAUAUCAGGUGCCGUGUAGAGGCAGAGCCUAGUAAGAUUCGGGCAAUUAUUGAUUAGCCUCCACGAACUUGUAUACGAAAAGUAAGGAGCUUCCUAGGCCUGACCAAUUAUUAUAGACGAUUUGUCCAAAAUUACAAAGCCAUUGCAGCCUCAUUAACUCAGCUUCUGAAAAGAGGGCAUAUCAGUGGUCAGAGGAAGCCAGUAAAGCAUUUGACCAAUUGAAGACAGCAGUGGUAACCCUGCCUAUGUUAACCCUACCGAACUUUAGGCAAGUUUUUUAGUUAGAAACAUAUGUUUCAGGCUAUGGUUUAGGGGCAGUAUUAAUGCAAAACAAACGGCCAAUUGCCUUUUUCAGUCACCCUUUCAAGACUAGACAGAGGAAAACUAGUCUAUGAAAGAGAAUUAAUGGCAAUUGUGAUGGCAGUGUAAUGAUGGCAUCCUUACUUGUUGGGGCAUAAAUUCAUUAUAAAGACAUACCAGAAACUCUCAAAUAAUUACUUGAAUUGAGAGUGAUUCAACCCCACCAUCAACCGUGGCUAUCCAAACUAUUAGGAUACGAUUUUGAAGUAGUCUAUCAUCCGAGGGUGGAAAACAAGGUUGCUAACACGUUGUCUAGAAAACAUGAAGGGAUCGAGUUGGCAAACUUGGUGGUACCCACCUUGCUAGAUGUGGUUGUCAUCAAGGAGGAGGUCUAUAAAGAUAGUAAAUUGAAGGGGAUCACUGAGAAGCUAUUGGAGAAUGAAGAUAGUUUAUCUAAUUACUCACUCGAGCAAAGGGUGCUGAAAUUCAGAGGUCGCUUAGUAAUCUCCAAGACCUCCUCGUUACUUCCCUCUAUAUUACAUACAUACCAUGACUUUGUGUUUGGAGGACAUUCGAGUUUCUUACGCACUUAUAAAAGAUUAUUGGGGGAGUUGUAUUGGGAAGGUAUGAAGGGUGGUAUUAAGAAAUAUGUGGAAGAACGUUUAGUUUGUCAAAGAAAUAAAUUGUUGGCGCAUCACCAACUGAAUUGUUGUUGCCCCUGAGCAUUCCAAAUACAGUAUAGGAAGACAUUUCGACGGACUUCAUUGAGGGACUACCAAAAAUCGCAAGGGUUUGAUGCCUCUUUGUGGUGGUGGAUCGUCUGACAAAAUAUAGCCAUUUUAUAGGCUUGAAACACCCAUUCACAGUGAAAGGGGUAGCUGAUUUUUUUGUGAAGAAGAUAAUAAAGCUUCAUGAAUACCCCAAAUCUAUAGUUUCUGAUAGAGAUAAGGUUUUCCUAAGCCAUUUUUGCUAGAAAUCAUUCAAACUAGCAGAGACUCAAUUGAAUAGAAGCACUGCUUACCAUUCACAAUUAGAUAGCCAAACAGAGGUGGUAAAUAAAAGUCUUGAAGCCUACCUGCGUUGCUUUUGCGGGAAAAGACCUUCACAGUGGUAUGCUUGGUUGCACUGGGCAAAACAUUGGCACAACACCACCUAUAAUGCUUCCAUUGAUAUCAUUCCAUCGGCCAAUGACCACUAGCUCUAAUUGCCUACAGAGAGCAAACGGCCACCAAUUCCACCCUUGAUCAUCAAUUACAAGAGAGAGAUGUAGCCUUGGGAGUUUUAAAGGAGCAUUUGACAAUGGCCCAACAAUGUAUGAAGGAAUUUGUUGAUCGUAAAAGAAGAGAAUUGAAGUUUGAAAUAGAAGAAUAUAUGUAUUUGAAGCUACAACCUCAUAAACAGACCUUGAUGAUGACAGGACAUAAUGAGAAGCUAUCACCUAAGUACUUUGGGCCCUACCGCACUGAAGCAAGAGUGGGGAAGGUAGCGUAUCGCUUGGCCUUACCAAAAGAAGCUUCGAUCCACCUAGUUUUUUACAUCAUGCAGCUGAAGAAAACAUUGGGGAUCAAAUAAGACAAUGGAACCAGCACUACCUCCCCUAUCAAAGAAAUUUGAAUGGGUGACCGAACCUGAAGGAGUCUAUGCCUAUUGCAAAAAUCCAAAUGCUUGGAAGGGACAACCUCCUCAUGGUGCUACUUGGGAAACAAUUGAAGAUUUUAACCAGAAAUUUCCUAUGUUUCACCUUGAGGGCAAGGUGGAUUUAGGAGGGGGAGUAAUGUUAGGCCCUCAGUUAUACAUCAAUAUCAUAGGAGAGGUAAAGGCAAGAAAGAGAGAAACGAGUAAGGGUGGGGACCACUAUAAGGGAGGCUAUAAAUAGAAAGUCGAAGAGAGGGAAGGGUAGUGAGUUGCUUAGUAGAAUCUUCUCGAGAAUGAGAGUUGAUGGCAAAGAUAAUUGAUUGUGAUUGUGCUUUGAGUGAAUGCACUUAGGGUUAUCAACCCAUUCUUGUUAAUAAGAUUAGUAUCGUCUAUUCGCGACACAUUUCACAUCAUUGCUUUACCAUCGGACUUUCCACAAAAGCGUAUCUUCUUUCAAGUCCCAGUCCUACUUCACUGAUUUCUGCUCAUCCUUUCUAUGAACAUAUGGGGGAAAACUAGUACGAUUUUGUUCAUCCUUCAUCAAUUGAUCUUUUUAACUCAGCUUCAUAUUCGAUGGCACUAGCCUCUUGGUUUAGUGAUCUUGAUCUUUGUAUAACACGAUACCAACAAAUAAGCAACCCAGCCAAUUUUCAACUAAGAAAAAAAGAGAAUUAAAUGGAAUCUAGAAAGCUCUAUUUCUUUUCAAAAAAAAUUGAUUAGAGAGGGGUGUCUAUAUCAAUAUGACACCUUGAUUGUCUUGGUUUUCAGAUUUGUUAUUUGGUGAAACUUUUUCCCCUCAAGUGGGCUUCAUGAUGUUUUUGCCUUAAUCAUGUUGUGCACAUCUUUCUCAAGAUCUUUGUGCUUCAAUUGUUUUUUCUUUCGGUCCAAUCAGCAUCUUUAUAUAACUCAUCCUUUAUGGAUUGACCUGUACCUUUUACUUUCCCUAUUUGCACAUCCUUGCUUGUAUCUUUCAUAUUGAGCUCUGCUUUUGUUUGAAAAAUCUGUAAGAAGUAAGAUGAUGUAAUUUUUUAAAAGAAUAAUAAGCAAAAUAAAGUUCCAACACUUUAUGCUUACUUACCUAUUCUUUUAUAGAAACAACUGCUUUCAUUCAGAAAAAAUGAAAGAAUACAAGGAUAACAAAAAAAAAAAGCCUGCUUUUAUAGCAUGCUAGUUUCAUAGAAAUGUUUGCUUUCUUACUUAAUUAGGAUGGCCUAGGAAGUGUUUUCCAUCCCCAUUCACUUGUUUUCAUUGAAAUAAGCAUUAUAUGAGACCUUUACAACAAUUUUCUUGGCUUACUUUCCUAGCGCACUAGACAACCUUAGUUUUUACUCUUAGGAUGGGUUUAUGAUGUCUCUAAGUUUGUAGUCACUCCAAAAGACCCCACUAGUUGACGUGUUGUUGUUAGGAUUCUACACCCUUUUUAAUAAAAUACCCAACUAGGGCUAAAAAGAGACAGCACCCUGUGAUCCUUUAUAUCUAUAUAUAGCCCAAAGUUACAGCUACAAUAAGGAAUGAAAAUAAGACAAUGAACAAUAAGAACAAACCUGCACUCUUCACAAGAAGGAUACCCCUCUCCUAUCGGCUGCUGCCGCCUCCCUUUCCUAAAAGAUAACCCAAAAAGAUACCUAUCCCUAUUUCUCAAUCAUUCUAUUUAUACUCACCCUCAAAUUCCUACCCAGUGGGACCCUCCUGCACAUUCUUUUAUUUCCCACUCAUUCUCUCUCCUUACAUGUUGGUGAGUUUCCCUUCUUACCCUUCCUAACAUACGUAUGUAUGAUUGGGGGUCUCACAGUUGUCUCACUUGAGAGGGUGCAAUAUGAGACUAAGAAGAAAAAGAGAGUCAUGAGUCUAAGUGAAUAAAAACAAAAGAGUGAAAGGAAAGCAAGCUUAGAAAAAUUAAAAUAGAAAGAAAAAAGAAAAGAAAGAAAGAGAAGAAGAAAAAUAAAGCACAAGAAAAUUUUGUUGAGUGAGUAAAUAGAUAGGGUAAAAGGAGCUACCUCCAUUGUGAUAAGUUAGGAUGCCCAUGAAACCUUAGGUUUAAGCCCUAUUAUAAGCCUUUUUAUGAGUUCUUCAUUGUGACACUCCUUCAUUUCCUAUAUAUACCACUUCAUUUUCCAAGAAAAAACAUGCAAGGACUGAGAGGGGCGCACCCAUCCCAAGUUAUAAGCCUUUUUAUGAGUUCUUCAACUUCUCACCACCUUUCAUAGUUUCUUUUGAUUUGUAUUAUGGCUUGAUGUUGGGGAACCUCGAUUGCUACUAAGGUAUGUGAACUUUGUUAGUCUUUGUUUAGUUAUGGAUUUGGAUGAACCCAUUGCAUGUUUAUGAGAGGAUUGUGCUAAAUAUAUGUAUAUUUUUAUCUCUUAGCCAUCUGUAUCUCUUGCUUUAAUUCUUUAGUGUGUGGAAUGGUUGAGACUGACAACCCAAGUCAUUAAGCAUAUUGCAUGCUAAACACUAGAAACAUACAUAAAUUGUAAUUGUUAUGUAUUGAUUGCCAAAGUAGCAAGAGUCAUCUCAUGAGUAUAGGGUUUGUUUCACGGCAUUUUUGGAAACAUCGUAUAAUUGCCUUGAGUAGCUUAGAGAUAGAGAGAAAUUGAUUAAUUAGUUGGUGUUUUUGUCAGUUAAUCAUCAUGAUUUCACCCUAGAACCCAAUGCAUGUGUUUGAUUAAUCUCUUAAUGAAUUUCACAUCUUAAUUAGUCAGCACACAGUUUAACUAGGAUGCAAGUCUUAAUUAAUAGUUUACGACGUUUAAUGUCAGUAUUACCCAUUAAGUAGACUGUGUGAGCAAGAUUGAUUGAGUAAUAUCCAAGGACCAUAAAUAUGAAUUAGGGGGUUCCAUUUCUGUUAACUAAGCGUGAAUAGGGGGAUUCCAUUUCCGUUAACCAAGCGCAUCUGCUCAUUUAACAAAAUCAAAGGAACAACCACCUUCUUUAGCUCACUUAUCCUUUGAUUCUCAAGUUCACACACAACCCACCAAUUUACCGCUUUAACUAAAAAUGGGUUUUAAGGAAUUAAUCUUUGAGCUUCCUUGAAAUUCAACCCAGUCUGACCACUAAUGCUACUCUUUCAUAAUAAUCAAUCGUAUAAAAUAUAAAUAUUAUUUGAUCGAUUGAAGGGCUUAACAACCUUGUCUCUGUCAGAUAGUCCUCGAAUUCCCCGCACGCAAGAGGCCACAGUAAGAAAAAGGAAAGGAUCCCACACAACCAAUCAUACCAACCCAUCUCCUUAGUUUUUCAUGAUCACAAUUGAUUUGCAAAAUUUGACACUUGAUCUUAUUUUAAGCCCAAACAUCGCCUCAAAGAAUCCCACACGGUGGUUAAGGAUCCUAAAGGAGUUCUCUUUACCAGAGCAACAUAGUGUCGUCAACAAACUAAAGAUGAGAUGAAGCCACCACCAUUGAACCAACCUUAAAAGGGUUCGAUUUAUAACGUUACCUUCCAACUCUUUCAAGAUGAGUCUAUUCAUAGCAUCCACAGCUAGUAAGAACAACAAAGGAAGAAAAAGGGUCUCCAGUUUUAGCCACCUUAAAGACUUGAUUGAUCCGUUUGGAUUUCCAUUCACAAGGACUGAGCAACUCAAAUUCCUGACAUAGUUCCAUAUCCACAUUCUUCAUUUAUAACCAAAACCUUUUUUACCAUGACCUUGUCCAGGAAGUCCCAAUCAACCUGGUCGUAUGCCUCUUCGAAGUUAAUUUUAGAAAUCACUUCUUCCUUUACCUAUUCAAUUGGUUCUUUAUUCCCUUAUAUUUCAUAGUAAAUAUAAAGUAACUGAUCCAAUUAACCUCAUCUCUAAGUCUUAAAUAACAGCAUCAAUUCCUUAACAAAAUUUUCCCAGAAUCCCGAAUUCAUCACUAAAGUUCAUUGGAAACAAGUGGAACCAAACUAUAAGUACACAAAGAGACGAGAUAGUUUAGCAAUUAACAAUAUGAACCAGCAUGAGUAAGGAUAUUCAACUUGAAGCAAUAAAAUUCUUCUACAUAGAAUAUUAAAAGGGGCAAUUGAUUGAACUAAAACUAUUGCUUUCAAUUAACGGAAAAAUUAGAAGCUAAAUAAACGAAAAGGACAGAUACCAGGUGGAGUUUGAAAUGAUGGGUUAGGAAAUGAGUCUGGAGCCCUUGAUGCUGGAGUUGAACUCAAGAGUGCUCGCUCUCUCUUGGAAACGUAGCGUCCAGGAACCAUAAUCCUCUCAUGAGUCUCAGAAUUAGAGUCCGAGCAAUGCAAUGACCGUAAGUUCGGCUUGAAUUUAAAAGGUUCGCGUUCGGGUCUCUUUGAAGGUGAAGAGGAGAGGGCCAAGCGCUUGGGCUUAGGUUCAUCUUCUUCGUCGUAAUCGUCAGAGGAAUUUGAGUAAGCUUUGAACAGAGAUUCCAUAGCUCUGAAAUAGAGAAGAACGUAAGAAAAGACAGAAAAAGUUUGAUCACAACGAGAGAUCUGAAGAUGGAAGCAUUGUGCAAAUGGCAGCUUGGAGUGUGAGGCUACAGAAUAAGAGACGGAGAGAAAAUGGAUACAGAGAUGUGUCAAAGACCGACAACAGAGAGGGGCUGGUGUGUCGGUCUGUGGGCGCCGUAGGGAAUGAGGAAGAAGAAAGAAACCUAGGUGGGGGGCCGGGAUCGUUCUGCGGCCGAACGUCGACGGCAGCGAGGAGAAAUAGCCAAAUAAGAGACACUGUCAUCAAUUACCUUUUUUUAUUUUCGCAUUUGAUGUUGUCAUAAAAUAGAAAAAACUAAUUAGUCUUAUCACAUGUCACCUUCUAAUUUUCUUUUAAACGAUCAUGAUAGGUUGUCGUAUAGAAAAUGAUAAAUGAUCGUGUAGGUAGUAUCAACACGAUCGUACGCUAAAUGAAAUGUUUACUAUAGCAAGCGAUCAUUUAUAUCAUAUCCACACAAUUGUGUAGUACUUUUAAAAUUAUGGAAAAAAAUGGUUCAAAUCUAAAUGAUCGUGUUGAUCCGUAAAUGAUUAUUUAAAUCAUAUCCACGCAAUUAUGUUCUUUUUAAACAAUGAGAAAAAAACUUCAAUUUUAAAUGAUUGUGUUGAUAAUACUAAACAAUCGUGUUGACUUGAUAACCGAUCAUUUAGAUCAUAUUAAAAUGAUAUUUAAACGAACUUGAUAUCCUGGAAUAGGAGCUAGAAGAAAAAAAUGAAUAAAAAUUGGAGAAAGAAAAUGUGGAAGAUGAGCUAAAGAAAUCUAAAAGAGAAGAUAAAUAAAAUACAAAUAAGAAGAAAAAAAAGUGACAAAUCAUCCGAAAUAUCAAUGGCAACUAUGAAAUUUAUAAAAAUAUUUUAUCGGCAUCAUAGUCUUUUUAUUUUUAUUACACAUGUCAUAAAUAUUUUGGUGUUUUAUUACGUUUACGAAAAUUAACCCACUUAAAAUGGUUGUUUUUUCUAAUGCUUUCAUAUCAUAUUAAACAUUUAGGGAACGUUUGGAGAAAGUGUUAGGUUAUGGAAGGGUUAAUGUUAUGAUAAAACUAGUUAUGAUAGUAUGUGUUUGAGAGAUCAUGGAAGUAGUGUUAUGAUAAGAUGUACUCAUCUAAGGGUUGUCCUCAUUCAUAGUGGAGGAAGAGGCGCAAAGAACAUUGCAUGAGAAAGAUCUCGAACCCAAUCGAGAUGAGGUGCCUUUUAUUCAUUUAUAUUUCAAAAUGCAAAUUUUCUAUAUUUAAUUUAUUAAAUUGUCCUAUUUAGUAAAACAAUUUUCAGAAAUUUAUUUAAAUGUGACAUCCAUUUUAACCUUUUUUUAGGUAGUUGUUAAGUGCGAAUAAAUUAUUAAUUAUUAUUAUUUUAAAUUCAUAUUUAAACUCCAAAUACACAAAUUUCGUAUAUUUAAUUUACCAAAUCAUACUAAUUUUCGUAAAAUAAUUUGGCUUAAUUUCUUUAAAUACGAUGUGAAAUUUUCAACAUUUUUUAAAGUAAUCGUUACGGUUGAUUAAAUCACUGAUUUUUCUUUUAAACAUAAAACAUUCUAUUUGUUUUUUCCCUCUUUUUAAAGAAGGUGAUUGUUGUUCCACGAGCAACAAAAAUGAAAAAAAAAAAAUAGAAACUUAAUGAAAUAUAUAAAAAUAAGGAAGAAAAAGAAAACAAAACUACAUUUUGAAAAAGUAUGAGCAUAAUUUGGUAAAAAAAUUAAUUCAAAUAAAUCUUAAUUCAAAUUUCGCCAUUAAAUUGAAUUUUUUUAAAGAAAAUUCUUGUACAUUCAAAGUUUAAAUACCUUUUUAAAUGGAAAAUUGCAUCAAAUGAAAAAAAAAACAUUUAGAAAAAAACAGCUCGUGGAUCCAAUUUGUUUUUGCAUAUUAUGAAAACAACAAAAUUAGUGAUAUUAGACAGUAAUCAUAAGGCUAUCAGAGGGUCAUCACUUUUAUAUUUACUACUUUUGCAAAUUUAGAAAAUGUUGUGACUUAUAUUUUGUUAUUAUAAUUUUUUUUUUUGCUACUUUUGCAAAAGCUCUUUUUAAAAUAUUUUGUUAUACAUUUUUUUAGGGUUUUUUUUUAAAUAGAACAAAAUAGCAAAAUAUUUACACUGUAUACCGUAUAGAACAAUUUCAAAAAUGAAAAAUGUAUAGAAUAAUUUCAAAAAUGAAAAAUGCCCACAGCCCACAAUGAAAAUUUCCAAAAAUGUUCUACAAUUAAUUGGCAUCCAGCGCUCAUAAUAUAUUUGGAAAACAAUCGUUUAGAUUUAGCUAUUCUUCUAUAUACGAUCAUUAAGAUUUGGAUAACCAAAUCUAAAUGAUUUUUUUUAGUACGUAAUCGUUUAGAUUUGACACACGAAAGUUUAAUUUAAUCGUUUAAAUUUAGUCGAUUAAAUUUUGGUAGCCAAAUAUAAACGAUUUUUUUCAAGAUUUUUUUGUAUGUGAUCAUUUAGAUUUGACACAUGAUCAUUUACAUUUGGCACACGAUCGUUUAGAUUUGAUCGGUUAAAUUAAGUAGUCAAGUCUCGACUAUUUUUUUCAAGAUUUUUUGACACGAUCAUUUAUAUUUAGAACAUGAACGUUUAUAUUUGGAAUGUGAUCGUUUACAUUUGACAAUCAAAUAUCUCGAAUGAUUUUUUUUCACAAUAUUUUAUAUUUAGCACACGAUCUUGACUCAAAUAAUAAUUUUUAAAAAUAUUACAAAAUUACAAAAAAAAAAAGAUGAUGGAAAGGAAAAGAAAAAAAAUUACAGAAAAAGAGAAAAAUACAAUGGAAAGGAAAAGAAAAAUUGCAGAAGAAAGAAUAUGAAAAUGAAUGGCUUAAUCACAUUCCUCUACUUCUUGUGAGACGUCUGACUAUGAAACCACUUGGUAUUCUUAUCCUCCCAUUUGAGCCACUCGUCACGCGAUCUACUUUCCAAUAUAUCUCAUUCUCUUCUAGCAAAUUUCCAAGCUCAACCUCUGCUUUACAAAUAUUCCUUUUGUCCCACCCUCAUCACAACUUUUAAAGGUUUCAACUUCCUCUUCUUUUUUAUGAAUGGCGUUUCAGAUAGAACCUGUCAGCUUACCAAGGUUCUAGUUUCUUAGGCUUUCUAGACAAAAUUUAACCCUAUCCAAAAAUCCAGUCACCCCCUCCUCUCUAGAUUGCAUCCAACAACUGUUAAUAAUAUUUCUAUACUUCUAAAACUUCAACCAUCCAUCCUUGACUAUGAUCAAUUUGUCACUCUUUUUUGUAAAAUUUUAGGUACUUGCACUACCAUUUUAAAGAUGACAGGUCUAUGAUCGACCAACAAAAAUUUAAAUGACUAAUCUGGAUAUGAAGGAAUCUAGUCGCAAAAUCAUUAUUGAUGAGGAAGUGGUCCAGUCUUUCUUUGAUGACUUUGCGUCUGAUAUUUCGUUUUCAAGUAAACAUAUCAUCUUUUCACCCAGAAUUGUGAAGAGCACAAUUGUCCCAAGCUUCAUGAAACUGGUUCAUUUGAUUUUGACUUCUACCAUUACAUAAACAAUUAAUUUAUGAAAUUAUUCUAUUUUCGUAGAUAACUCUCAAAUAGCUCGUACUCUUAGGAGACGUGAGCACUUGAGGAACUUGGAGUUGGAGCGAUAUGUUGCACAAAAUGAGAAGAUUCUCAUAUCGAUUGCUUCAGUACAGGAUGAGUUGAUCCCUCCACACGCCGUUCACUUCAACUAUAUCGAGCUGUAUGAAUAAUUUUCCAGUUCAUUUUCUUAAGUGGAUUGACGUUACGGCAGAUUAUAUCGAGCUCGUGAAGGGCUCUUUACAGGUAAGUUUUAAAAUCAAUCGUACAUAUAUGUUACUUACCUACUGCGUGUAUAUAUAGAAUCGUAAUCCGUGUGUACUUUUCUUUUGUAGCAAUUUGUCGUGUUUGAUUUCACAGAUCCAGCAACUAAUCGGUUUGUUGAGCAUCAAAUGUUCACCACCUAGAAGGAGUUUAGGGGGCAAAACCAUCGUCGAUUCAAGAAGUUGAGUGAUUUUGACAGAAACAUGCCAACUCACCCCCUCAUAUUGAAAAAUCAUGUGGAAGAUUGACAUUUCCUAUGCAACCACUACCUUACUCGACAAUUUGAGGUGAUUUAGAACUUUUAAUGUUCUCAAAUAAUAGUUCAUUUUUUUAUGUACCAUUUUGAUAUUAUUUGGUUGUAAGAGUAAUCAACGAUGAAUAGGGCUGCUAGAGCGAAGUAGCCCUACAACCAUAGUAGCGACGCCAAGUCGUUUAUACAAUGAGUGUGCAAGCUCAUUAAAAAAUGGGGUCAUCCAAUCGACCGAGUGGAGUUGUUCAAGGAAACACAUGCUCGGGAUGACUGGUUCAAUUCGCCAGCAAUUGCAGAUGCUCAUGUAACUUUCUGCUAUGUUUUUUUCUUUUUUAUACGUACAUUUCAUUUACACACGAUUUACUUAAUUGAUACAAUUUUUAUUGCAUAAUCAAAUGUUGGUCAUCCAAUCCCAGCCUGCCCUAGAGGGUUCUCAACCACUUUCUGGAGACGAGAUAUGCGAGAUAGUUUUGGGUAGACGAUCAAACUACUCAAAAGGUCUUGGUUGAGACCCAUGUAGGCCAAAGUCCCGACACGCUGCUGUCAAUUCUUUCUCUACAUCCCAUGAGCGAGAGAUGCACGUCAGAAAUGUUCACGAGCUAAAAACUCGUCUUUAGGAAGUAGAAAAAGAAAGUAGAUGGAGGCACAAGAAAAAUGAUCAGAAGAUGAUUAAAGAAAUGAGGAAGAUAAUUGAAGAGCUCACUCGGGCAGCGAGAGGACCUUGAUAUCUUCAUUUAAUGUACAUAAUUUUAAACUUUUACAUUCUUUCAUUUCUUAUUGGGGUGAUAUAUAUUUAAACUUUCAUUCGAAGACAUGGGGGGAUUGCAUUUGUAUCGCUUAGAUUAGUUUUUUAGUUUUUAGUUUAGCUUAUUCAUGUUAUUUUUCUACCUACAAAUGUUUGUAUUUUUAUAUAUUUGAAUUAAUUUUAAUAUAUAUUUGAUUUGAUAUUUUAUUAAUUUUACAUUACCUAUAUUAUAAUUUCAAUCAUUUAAAUCGAAUUCAAUCCUAAUAGUGACAACAAAAAAUUAAAUAAUAAAAGAAUUAGUAAAAGGGCUUUCUCGACGCAGAAUCCACGUCGUGAAUGGCCGCAUGUAACGACAUGGCAUCGUUUCAAGUUAUGUCGACACUGCGUCGGUCUUACCUUCAAUGACCUACACGACGAUGUCAACACUUUCUUAUUGCCGUCAAGUUGACUUGACGUCGACAGAACUCUUUUGUCGACACUCAGACUUGACGUCGACAUUAGUGUAUUGUCGACGUGUUGACCUUGUCGGUGAAUCAUGCGUAAGCCAAAAUCCUAUAUUGACGUCGUCUCGUACCAACGUCUCCAUUACCUCUUACAACACGUCAAUCAUGACAUCAAUGCUGAUGUGCCCUUCUACGUCAGUGUAGCUUUUGCUCAAGCAUAAUGGCAUUUUAGCGACACAUAGUUGCGUUGACAAACCCUAUGCUUCUUGUAGUGAAGUAGAAGUAUUCAAAAUUUCAAUAAUAUCUCUAGUUUAAAUCUCUAGAGACAAUUUAUAUUUGACACUAAAAUUAGAAUGAUGUUAUAAUUAAGGUUCAUUAUGAUCGACUUGUUUUUAAAACAGUAGUUUCAAUUUGAGUAUUUCUUCAUAACUCUGUCUAACAAAAAAAGAUUGUUUACAAAUUUAUUUGGUUUGUUAUACCCCAAAAGUAUUGUUUUCGAUUAUGCCUAAUUGCUAGAAAGAAUGUCUAUAGAAUACCUAUGAACUAAUACUUAAAAUAAUGGUCACUGAAAUGUUGGUUGUUUGAGAUAAUUUUUCUUGGAGUUGGCAGUUGUUGGUAGUGUGUGGUGAUGGUCAAAGUUUAUCAACAACAAUGGUAUAGAUGGCAAAUAGUCGAAGUCGACCAACGUAAGGUGGUAAUAGUCACAAGAAUAUAGUAAAAGUGAGAUAGAUGACAUUUGAGAUGUAUGAAUAAUUUUACAAAUUAUUAUCAACUAGAGAGUGACAUUCUACCCUUAAAAGUAUUUUGUUACAAGUGUUUAUCUUAAACCUACUGUAUUUAUUAGUUUUUUUUUUCAAAUCUAAAUAAUAAGUUAUCUUACAAAAUUUUUUUUAAAAAAAAUUCUUUAAGAAAAAGCACCAAAAGUAUAGUUCUAGCACAUCACUUAGGGGAUUUAAAUAUUUUUGCUUUUAUAAUAAUGUAGUGAUUAAUUUGAAAACAACUAUUCAAAUGAAAAUUACUUUUUUCUUAAGGAUGUAUCAAUUAAACAUAAUGUUUAAUAUCAGUUUAGGGUUUCAUCCUACCUAUUAAAUUGAUACAACCUACAAAAAAACAAAUUAGGAAUAUAAAUUGAAAAUAUUGAUUUUACGAUAUAUCUAUUGAUGAAAAAAAAAUUAUAGUGAUCAGCCCCAUCACAUGUCAAAGAUCUGAUAGCUUAUUAAUGGAUUAUCACAUGAUAAGUGAGAAGGCUAUUGAUCAUAUAUUUAAUUAAUUAAGUAUUUUUAAAAACUUUCCCUUAAUCUUAAAGAUUAGUGUAUUAUAUAUAAUAUAUAUCAAUGGUCCUAUCCUAUUUAAUUAAUGAUCUAUGUAUCUUUCAAAAGUAUCACAUGGGUGUCCCACAUACCAACCCUACUUCCUCUUUUAUUUUAUUCCCUUCUUAUUCAAUUUACUUCUACGAAAACUCAGAGAUCCAAUCUACCAUGUACUGCUAUAAGAUAUUAUUAGUAAUUUUUACUUACGAUGUAUCUAGCUACUUUCUUUUGUUGGAUUUAUAUUAACUUCGAUUUAAGAAUGGCGUGGUGAACUCAAAAGAAGCACUAAUAAUAUAUGUUAAGGACUCGGCUCCUACAAUAUUUGAAAAGUUAAGACUUUCACGUCCUCACAAUUUUUUAUAAUAUUAUACGAAACUACUUCUCCUACUGUCAAUUGAUUUCGAGAUAGAACCUUGUGAGUUGUGAUAUCAAAUAUAGUAUGAGUCCAAACAAACACCUACCGAAUGACAUGUCGAGGUAAUAAAUGAUAAAGUAUUUAAACCUAAUUUUGAAAUAUUAACUUAUUUAUCUCUCUAUGUUAGAAGGGGCCGUGUAGGGAGAAUCUUUACGUAACCCUUUUACCUCUACAUUUUUCGUAAAUUUCCAUAUUAUACUAUUCAUUGAGUAGUUGUAACUUUUGAGUGAAAUCUUAGAUGACUUAAUGCAUUUGAUGUUGAUGGGAUGCAACUCUUCGAGAUAGGAUGCAUUUAUUUGAAAUGAAAGUGUUACAUUAGUUGAUUGAUUCUUUGGAUGACAUUGUGCAGAAGAAAACCAAAAGAAAUACAUGUAUUUUAUAUUUUUAAAAAACAAUUUAAUUAAUAAGAUCCCAAACUUAAAAGAAAACAUUAAAAAGACAAAAUAUUUGAUUGAAUAAAAUUAACAAUUAAUAAGAUGAAACAAUCCAUCCCAUUUCAAGUUGAAUAAAAAUUAUUUCAUUGUAUACAUUACAAUGAAUUCAAUAAUUUAAUUACUAGAACCACUUUUCUCUUCUUUAAACUAAUAGAAUAUUGUUUGUUUGUUUGAAAAAAAAAGGAUAAUAUGAAAGAAAUAAAAUUAUUACAUUACCUGAUUUCUAAUUGUAUUAAGAGGGCGUUGUAAGAUAACAUGGUCUGUUUAUCUCAAAUAACUUACAAAAAACUUACUGAUAUAUAUUAUAUUAAGUCACUUGACUUAACGUAUCAUUUGCAAAUUAUUAAAUUCAUAAAUCAAAACCUAAGUUUCUAUUCUACUUAUGUUUUAAUACAAAUUACAAAUUAUGCAGCUCUUAUCCCAAUUGUAAGCAAUUUAUCAAAACUAUGGGCCUAACGGCUCUUUAACAAUUUAAAUUCGAAUUAAAUAAAUUUUAAUCAAAUGUAAAAUUAAAUAAGUUUAUCUUGGGAAGCAAGCAAGGCUAGUUUAUUAAUUAAUUUUGUUUGUAAUAUUUCAAUUUUGUAAUGAUUAAUCUAUGAAUUUUAAGAAAAGGGUACUUCGAAUUGCGAUUAUUGAAGUCUUCAAAAGUUUUAGUAAUAUACAUGUCCUUUAAGAAAAGUAAGGCAAUUAUAUAAUUUUUUUCUAAUUUCUUUUUUAUGAAGGAUAUCAAAAGCAAUCUUUUCUUUAAAGUUUUCCUUCCUCUUUUUUUAGUAAAGUUACUCAUGUAUUUAUUAUUUAAUAUAACAAAUAUGUCAAUCAUAAAAAUACAAAGAAAAUUGUUAAUAUAUAUAACCAUAGUUGAAGGAAAAUUUAAAAUGAACUAAAAAACAAAGAUUGAUAUUAAAAUAAGAACAAAUGAAUUAAGUGACAGCAUGAGUGACGUGUGCUCUACUCCAUAAUUUUAGAGAUUGUUUUGUUUCAAUAUUUAAUACCUUUUUAAAAUAUUUUGUUUGAUCCUCAAACUUUGCUUAAACGAUUGACAUUAAUUACUCGAUUUGCACUUUCAAAUAGCUUAUUUAAAAUUCUUUUUUAAUAUAGGCAACUACUCACCACAUGUUGCCAAUCAUUUAGGCUGAGUUUGAUAAAUAUUUUACAAGACUUUUUUGUUUUUUGUUUUUUUUUUCACGAGAAAAAAAUCUUUUUUAAAAUUAAGUUUAAUAACGUUUCUUUCAUCUCUAAGUUUUUAUCGUUGUUUAUUUUGUACUCAUGCAUUUGAAAACUAAUUAAACUUUUAAAACAUAUGUAAUUUUUAAAAAGUAGAUUAAGGGUGUUUGGAUUAUAUUUUCAAGUGUUUAAUUUAAAAAAUGAGUUAUUUUGAAGAAAAGAACCUAAAGUAUUUUGAAAGCUAUUUAAAAUAAAUAAAUUUUAGAAAAAAAUUUAAACAAACGUGAACUUUUUUAAAAACAUUUUUUUUAAAUUCAAUUCAAACUUUCAAGUGGACAUAAUCAACAAGUUAAAGAAUGACAAUGCAAGUAGAUGAUCAAUCAGGUAAGGUUAAUUUAAGAGAACAAUCCGUUAUAGAAAACAAUAAAAACUAGGUUUAAUUAACUGUUUCUGUACCUUUUAGAAUUUAGACUUGCUUUUGUUCAUAUAUAUACUUCUAGUUUAGGUUCAUUUUAGUCUCUAUACUUUCAACUUUGUUUCAUUUUAGUUCUUCCAUCUUCAUUUUUACUUUAUUUUUUAAAAAUUAAAUUAGUACUAUUUAAAAAAUUUAAUAAAUAAAAUGAACCAAAAUUAAGUAUGAAGAUGAAUAUUUUAAAAGUAUGUUGAAGGGAAUGAAUGAAAAAUAAAAGUACACAUAGAAGACUAUAUGGAGAAAGAAUCAAAUGGUUUUUCUUUAAAUAAACAUAAAUAUCAAAAUCGAAAUAUAAAUUAAUUUCUCACCAUAAACUUAUAAUUUGUUAGCUAAUUUUUUUAUUUGUAGUUUAAAAAACUAAAUAUGUUUUAAAGUUCAAGUAAAGUUUUAAAUAUCUGUGAGAAGUUGGUUUGAAAAGCAUAGUUAAAAAAUAAAUUAAAAGUUGUAAAAAAGAAGAAAAUAAUAACAAUAAACUGAAAGCUGGUUUAUUAUUAUUAUAUUUUCCAUGUAUGAUGAAACCAUGGAAGUAAUAGAGUAAAUUGGAAGCUACAAGAGUUGAAAAGAAAGCAUUAAAAAUCAAAGAUAUGUUAAAGACUAAUUUAAUUUAUUUGAAUUGAUAUCCUUCAUUAAAAAGUAAAUAAAGAGUUUGUAACUUAGUUGAAGAUAAGAUAUAAUAUGGAUGUUCUCUUUCACAGUAUGAUUUACCAAAUGUUUGCACCAAAUGAGAAAGUGCAGUACAAGUCGUAGAUAGCUGAUUCUAAAGAAAAUUAGAAAUAUGAUUUUACAUACUCAAAACAACCACCCAUGCAUAAGGAAUGAGCAAGUGAAGAAAAAAAAAAACAAAAGCAACAAUCUCUCCUUUCCUUUCCUUGUAUCACAAACCUGCUCCCAUUCACUUUCUGACACAUAUUUGGUCAGAGUCGGUACAAAAACCUACGCAAAAAUAAUUAAUUCUUUUCCCUCUUAAAAGAAAAGCAAUUCAAAGCAAACAACAAUAAGAACGAUCCCAUUAUCUAUUUUCUGUCACUAUCAUUCCCCAUUCCAUCUUAUUCAUCCCUCUUCUCAUGGCUUCACAUUACAAAAUCCUCUUCAUUUCCAUAACUUUUUUCACACUUCUUUCAAAUAAUGUCUCUGCCAAUCCCAUCAUCAAAUGGUGCAAAACGACGCCCCAUCCAAGAGUUUGCGUUUCCCUCAUGUCCCCAAUCAAACCUCCACCACAAAACAGACGGGAGUUUCGACAAAUGGCCAUUCAAACCACUUUGGAAAAAGCCGCCGAAGCCAGAGCUUACACUGCUCGCUUCGGUCCGACAUGUAAAACCUCGCGCCAGAGAACCGCGUGGACUGACUGUUUCAAGCUCUACAACGACGUCGUUCUCCAAUUAAACCGCACACUCCAUUGCGUCGUUACGGAUGAAGCAAUCCACCGCCGCAGUUGUACGGAUUUCGAUGCGCAAACCUGGCUUAGCUCUGCUCUUACUGACAUCGAUUUAUGCAACUCCGGCGCCGCGGAUCUCAAUGUGACGGAUUUUAUAACGCCGAUCAAAUGCUUGAAUGUUUCGAAGAUGAUUAGUAAUUGCUUGGCUAUUAAUGGUGGAUUUUUGGAGGAAGAAGGGGUUAAAUAUGAUGAUGGUAGAAAUGGGUCGUUUCCGAUGUGGGUUUCGGAAGGUGAUCGCAAGUUGUUGGAGUCGAGGCCGGGGAGGGUGAGGGCUAAUUUGGUGGUGGCGAAAGAUGGGUCGGGGACAUUUCGGAGGGUUCAGGCGGCGAUUGAUGCGGCGGCGAGGAGGCGUGGGAGGGGGAGAUUUAUAAUUUAUGUAAAAAGAGGGGUAUAUAGAGAAAAUAUUGAAGUUGGAAAUGAUAAUGGGAAUAUAAUGUUGGUGGGAGAUGGGAUGAGAUUUACGGUGAUCACAAGUGGAAGAAGUGUCGCCGCCGGUUUCACCACCUUCAGUUCGGCAACCGCUGGUGGAUUUCUCUCCUGGCCUUCUAUAUUUUGCACUUUAUACCGUUUUAAAAUAGCUAUUUAUUAUUACACUCAUAUAGUUAAAUUAUUUCGGUAAUUGUUUGGUAACCAUUCUAUUUCUAUUACAAGUUCAUCAAUUUGUUAAAAACAAAAUAAAAAACUUAAAUAGAUAUCAAACACAUAAGUUCAAGAAAAUAGUAAAUAUUAUCAUAAAAUCUAGGAACUAGUGUUUUCCUUUUUCUAAAUGUGACUUAACUAAUUUUACUGAGGUUUUAGGUAUCCAAGGUCCAGGCUUCAUAGCUCGAGACAUAAGGUUCGUGAACACAGCCGGUCCACGAAUGGGCCAAGCAGUGGCACUACGAUCAUCAUCAGACCUAUCAGUGUUUCAUCGAUGUAGCUUUGAAGGUUACCAAGACACACUAAUGGUCCUUUCACAGAGGCAAUUCUAUAAACAAUGUUACGUUUACGGUACAAUCGACUUCAUUUUCGGCAACGCGGCAGUAGUUUUACAAAAUUGCAUGAUUUACGUUAGAAGGCCUUUAAAGGGGCAAGUCAAUGUGAUCACAGCCCAAGGUCGAGAGGACCCAUUUCAAAACAGCGGAAUAUCAAUCCACAACUCACAAAUUCGAGCGGCGGCUGACUUGCGACCCAUGGUUGGCUCGGUGAAGACGUACUUGGGUAGGCCAUGGAAGAAGUAUUCACGGACUGUGAUAAUGAGAAGCUACAUUGAUUGGUUGGUUAGCCCAGCCGGAUGGUUGGCGUGGCAAAGUAGUAAAUUUGCUCAAGCUACGUUGUAUUAUGGGGAGUACCGUAAUAUUGGGCCAAGAGCUUCAACGCGGUUUAGAGUUAAAUGGCCUGGCUUUCAUGUCAUUAAAAGCCCAAAUGUGGCAUCUAAGUUUAGUGUUCAGAGACUUAUUGCUGGCCAGACAUGGCUUCCGGCCACCGGAGUUCCCUUCAAGCUUGGAGUUUGAGAUUCAAACUUUCAAGGUUUGGAAUUUGCUUCUCUCUCACCAUCUUAUUUUUGUUUAUUUAUUUAAAUAAAAUAUUUUAUUAUAUUGGGGUGUGAUUUGGGAUCUAACUAUUGUUUUAAAAUAGAAUGUAGGAAGGGGUAAUUUGUAUAAUUAUAUCAUGAUUAUGAGAUGCUACAUGUUCUUUCAUUUGCAUUUCUUCCUGAUAGAUUUAUUUGAAGAUCUUUUUUAUGGAUUUACUAUUUGGAUAUCUGCCUUCUAUAUCUACUCCUAUUCUUCAUGAUUUAUUUUAAAAAGUUCUUCUGGAUUUACCAUUUGAAUAUCAUCAGCCUUGUAUAUGUUGGAAGCAUUCUCUAACUUCACUCUAAAAUCUUACAAACUUUUAAGAGAUAAAAUCUCUUCUCUUACUUACAAAACUCAAGAACAUGCCAGAGAAGAAUGUUGUUAUCUGAAACUCACUUUCUUUUCAAACUUAAUUUGUUGCUUUCAUUGAUUCGAUAUUUUUCUUUCUUACUUCCAAGGGAAAAGAAAUGAACACUUUCUAUAUGACUCAAGAGACACUUCUUGAAAGACAUAAAAUAAAUGAAGUACAUGUAUGCAUACCAUUCAUGUACUUGAACUGUUACACGUAUCUAGAAAUGCGCACGUAUCUUGAAGUUAGAAAUGUAUCUAAGAAUGUGUUAUCCAUAAUGUAUUUAGCUAAUUAAUUUCUAACAGUAUAUCUACUCAUUUUGUAUAUUGAAGAAUCCAAAUUGUACCUCAAGUAAGCAAUGUUUUCAAAGUUUUCUAAUGUUCUAAUCUCUAUAGGUUUAACGACCACAUAAUGAAUAAUAUUCUUUGUUUGUCUGAAACUAUGAUAGAUAUUUUUGUUGCUUUAAUUUACUAGUGUAUGUGGAUGACAUUGUUAUUAUUUUAUAUAUAUAACCAAAAUUAAAUUAAACAAAAAAAAUUGUUUCCUUGUUAUUUUAAACCAUACCAAAUCAAAGAUUCAAUAGAAAAAUCCAAAUGGGUCGUUUUAGUAUUCACCCUUAUUUGUUCUUCUUUUAGGUGGUGGUGUAACACAUAUGACAUAUCCUCUAUUUGUGUUGUGAACUUAUAUGAAGCUUUACUUUUUGACAUAUUUCUAGUUAUUUGGGUUUGAUUUGAGUUAGUGAUGGCUUUAGUUAGAAAAUUUCUUAUAUUGAGAAGUCUGUACAAAUAUUGGGUAAAUAAUAGAAAAAAAAGGCUAUUAUUUUAGACUUGCAUACAAAUGUAGUCAAUUUGUUGGAGUCUUCAACAAUGGCCACACGACGUAUAUUGUAUUCAUUUGAUGGACCUAGACAAAGUAUAAAACAAUAAUCGAUAAAUAAUAGUUUUUUUUUUAGGGUUUUCAAAUAGAAUAGCCUAAUUUGGUAUAUGAUUUUACAUAAUGAGCCUAUUUCAAUAAUAAUUUUCAUAAAAGUCCUAAACGAGCUAUAGAAUUUCACAAAUGUAUGACCCAAUUUACCUUAUUACACAUUGGGAUUAGAAAUACGAAAUAAAUAAAAGAAUUUAAAAAAAGGAAUGUGCAGAGGUAAAUUAAGAGUGAACUAUGGCGGUUGUGUAAACGUUCUUCGUAUUUUAAAAAAUUCUCCCACUCGUCCAUCUUCGUCACUUCCAACCAAAAGAUUAGGAUUUUCAUCGUCAUCUAGAGUAGAACAUUCUCUAUAAGGCGUAUGAACGAACAACAUAGUGGUUCAAUGCAUUUUAAAUCCAGUUAGUAUUGUUUUUCAGUUCGUAUUUCAAAUACGAUAGGGUAUAUAUCAUAUAUUUGUUAUGUUUAUACAAUCUAUUACCAAGAUACAAAGAAACACAAAAUCUCACAAAUGAGUCUGAAGAAAAACAAUCCAACAAUGGAAGAAAUUGACAACAAAGAGAAGGAGGACAAUUAUAGGAAUGAUGAAGGGAACGGUGAGAGAAAUAAAGGUGAAGAUAAAUUGGAUCAAGGGAUAAAGAUAGUGAAAAAGGAGGACAACAUGUAACUUUUAAAUCAAUAUAUAUAGUUGAAUGUUAUUAUCUGAUAAAAUUAUGUUUGGUGUAUAUAUUAUAUACUCACUCUAAUGAUGAUCAGGAUUGACAAAAUGUAAAAAAUAAAAGACAAUAUGUAUCUUAUCAAUAUAAGUAGAUGUGACAAUACUUUAUUAUAUCAUAUAAUUAUGUGUUGCUCUAUAUAUUACAUACUCACUAUCAUGAGGAUCAAGCUGGCCGAAAUGAUGGUAAGUAUAGUUGUAAAUAUAGUUAUUACUUUUGAAUUUAUACGUAGUAUGAAAAUAUUUAAAUUAUGUUUAAUGUGAUUUAUGUAGAAGAAAAAAAAAGGAAAAAGCACCUGUUUAGAAAAUUGUAGUUGGGAAGAGUGCUACAAUAAUUGUACGUAUAUAUUUAAUGUUAUGUAUAUGUAUGGCAUAAUAUGUGAAAUAUACAAUAUUCAAUAUUGUCUAUAAUAACAGGCUCAAAGAAAAGAUAUAUUUUCUUAUCAGUAGGCUAUGAGGGGUAGCGAGCGAGCAUGAGAAGAGGAACUCUACCUCAAGGAUAAUGAGAUCUUCGUUCACAAAAACAUUUGGAUUGAUGGAGCCAAAAAAAAAGAGAAAAGUAGAGUUUCAUAGUGAAAGAUUUGAAUGACCAAAAUUUAAACUGGUCUCACAAGGAUCUUAGUAUAUUUUAGUUCAAUAUAAUAGAGAAAUUGAUGAAGGUUGAAUGUAGAAACAUGUAUUAUGUUAUUUUGAUUUUAUUCCAUUUUGGUAAAUUGCUUUUUGAUUUACAACGGUAAACAGUUACAAGUGUAUGUUUUUUAAUUGAUUUUAUAAAUUAAAUGAUGAAUAUGUUUAAAGUAACAUGGAUGAGUGGCAUGGUGAAAAAUAUAGUAUGUAUGUAAUGGAUGUUUUCGAUGUAGGCAACAUUAUCAAGUUUUGGAAGAUCAAAUGAACUUGAUGAGAAGCUUGUUGAAUACCGAGAAUACAAUAAAUUGGUCUAUAUAUCAUAUAUAUCCCACAUUCUACAAGUACAAAUCUUCGAAGGUAAGUACACAACAUAUUGAGAUGUGUCAUGGAUGACCUGGUAUUUCAUAUUGUUGACGGAAUUGUCCUACAUAGGUAAUUAAAUAGAAAAUGAAUGAGGUAUAUAAAUGAUUAAAUUAUGUAUAUAGAAAAUGUGUAAAUUAAAUAUAUCUUCAUACAUCAUCGACUAAGUUCAAUUUGUUCCCUUAAAAUACAUUUAAUUGUUUUUAUAAAAUAUGUAACUUGAUAGUCUACUUCAUUUUUUCGCUAAAAAGACCAUCUAUGCAACUUCAUUCUCAAAACCUCAAGCAUGGAACAUAUUGACAACUCCAUAGCCUUGAUAAUUAUAUUAUUCAAACUCUUAGAUAUGUUAGUAGUCAUGACAUUAUAUCUACUAAGUGAUGAGUAGGCACAAGACCACCUAGAAAAAUCAAUUGAUUGUAACUCCUCAUGUAUACUAGGUGCAUUUGAUUCCAACAAAUGCAUUUGAUGUUCACAGUCAACAACAUUAUAAGCCUUGCCACAUGCAUGAAACACGGUAUCGACUGUUGAUCAUCUAUACUUCAACUUCAAAUUUCUAAAUAAAUGAACCAGACACAUGCAAUGUAGAACGUUGGAAACUACUACCUCUAUCGCUUUGCAUUUACUUUUGUAUCGGUCAAAUACUAUGACAAUGUCAUUUCUACCACAAAUUAUUCACUUCAAUUAAUUGCAAAACCACGUCCAAGAGGAAUCAUUUUCAGAAUCGACCACACAAAAAACUAGUGGUAAUAUUUGAUUAUUGGUGUUAGAACUUAAAGCAGAUAAAAGAGUACCUACAUACUUAUUCUUCAUGCUUGUUCCAUUAAUAGAUAUGACUGGACGACAAUGUUGCCAAUCAGAAAUAGAACCAGACAAUGCCAUGAAGAAGUAUCAAAAUCUACCAUCGACAUCAACUUGGUAUUCAACAGUAGAACCUAUGAACAUAUUAAAUAUGAACAUUAAUGGUACAAAUUUGUAAUAAAAAUAAAUUACAUAUAUAAUGACAUAUAUUAUCAACAUACCUGGGUUAUUAAGUUGCAACUUGUAAGGAAAUUUGACUAUCAUCUUGUAGGAUUCCUCCGGAGAACCUCUAACCUCUAUGUUUUUUUUUUAAAAAACAACCUCCAUCUGAAUGAAUUUCAGUUUGAAAUCAACUUGAAGACGAUGAACCCAAAGAAAUCGCUAAAAGGCCAACAACAUGAAAAAUAAGGGCAAUAUGUUGUUCAACAUUCGAUAUUAUUAAUAUGGUAAAUUCAUUUGACAUCGUUAUCAUUCCUUAUAGCCAAAUCCUUCUUAAGACAUCUAUAGGGCCUAAGCAAAGAUAUAUAUAAAUGUUGUUCAUAUCAAUAAAACUACCUAACUUAGAUCUAAGGCCAUUGUACAAUUCUUAUAGCACAUGUUCAUCAACUAUUAUUUUAGACACACUAAAACUAACUUAAUUGAUAGAUUCGUUAAAAAAAAACCAUCGAAAUAGACUGUCAAGGUUCUCACUCAUAACUAUUAUUUCGAACAAUGUCUAGGCUCUAGAAAAUAGUUGAGGUUGUUAUUAGUUGUAGUCAAGUCUAAUUUUCUAUUCUUAUGGAGUUAGUGGGAUUAGUUGCUAACAUUGUGUAAUCUAUUUUUAGACUUAAGAUGAGUAUUUAUUUUGAGCAUUUUUUAGUGAAAUAAAAUACUUUCCAUUUUCUCAUUUCUCUACAUAAGCUUAAAUAUUCAAUAUUGGUAUUAGAGCCUGAUUCUUAAGAGAUUUAUGAGUAAGAAUCUCCGAGAGAAACUGAGUGAUACGCUUGUGAGAGUUAUUAGAGAUGGAGUUAGGAUAAAACAAUUUUAGAUCUGUGUUUGAUGGUAAAAAGUAUCAGGCUUGGGCUAUCAGAAUGCAAGCCUACAUGAAGGGUUGUGAUUAUUGAGAAGCAAUUGAUCAAACUAUAAGAUUGGUUCACUUCUAACAUUACAUCAGAUCAAGACUCACAAGGAAAGGGUCACCAAGAAGGCAAAGGUCAGAGCUUGUCUCCUGCUAUAUUCAACAGACUUUUUCCCUAAAGUCAGCAAAGGAGAUCCGAGAGUUUCUCAAAAGUGAGUAUGAAGGUGAUGAGAGGAUUAGUGCGAGAAUUCAAGCGAAUGCAAAUGAAGGAUUCUGAGUCCAUCAUAGAAUACUCAGAUAAGUUGAUUGGGAUUGCUAAUAAGGCAAGAGCAUUAGGAACUGAUUUAUCCGAUAGUAGAUUGGUUCAGAAGAUUCUGGUUUCAGUACCUGAACGAUAUGAAGCAACCAUUGCUUUUUAGAAAAUACUAAAGACCUCUCAAAACUUAAUUUUAUAAAAGUAGUUAAUGCUUUACAAGCACAAAAGCAAAGAAGGUUGAUGAGGAAAUAAGGAAGCAUUGAGGGGGCACUGAAAGCUAGAAUGCAGUAGGGAGAACGUGGAAAAGAGAAGAAGUGGAAAAGGAAGAAGGAAAGUGGCAAAAGUAGCAUGGAGUCUUUUGCAAAGGAUGUUGGUAGUGCAUGCAAGCACUGUGGAAAGUAGAACCAUCCACAUUUCAGAUGCUGGUGAAAGCCAGAUGUGAAGUGUAGAAUGUGUCAUUUAUUGGGGCACAUUGAACGAUUCUGUAAGGAAGUAAAAACUCAACAGCAAGAAGGAACACAUACUGCAGUACCAUAAGAAGAAGUUCAACUCUUUAUGGCUACUUGUUUCUCAUCAACCACUCAAUAUAUGGUUGGUUUUUUGAUAGUGGGGGUACCAAUCACAUGACAAGUGACAAAGAGUUGUUCAAGGACCUUGACAUAUCAUUCAAGUCAAGGGUGAAAAUAGGAAACAAUGUGUAUUUAGAAGUAAAGGGGAAUGACAUAGUGUCAAUGUGUUGGAACCAAGUUGAUUGUUGAAGUGUUGUUUGUCCUUGAGAUUGAUCAAAACUUGUUAAGCGUUGGUCAACUAGUAGAGAAGGGAUUCAAAGUGUUAUUUGAAGAAUGAAAGUGCCUAAUUUCUUGUUCCAAUGGGAACGAGCUCUUCAAAAUAAAGAUGCAACAUAAAAGCUUCUUGUUGGAUCCACUUGAAGAAUGACACUGAGUUAUGGCACAAGAAGUUGGAGCAUUUUCACAAAAAGGGUUGUAGUAUUUGUAGAAGAAUGACAUAGCAGUAGGAAUACCAGUUCUGAAGGAGCUGAAAACAAACUGUAGAUCUUGUUUAACGGGAAAGAAAACAAGGCUAAAACUUAUCCACUGUGACUUGUGGGGACCUGAACCAACUCAUUUACUAAAUGGUAGCAAAUAUUUUAUUAUCUUUAUUGAUGAUUGUACCAAAAUGUGUUGGAUAUAUUUCAUGAAGAAUAAGUCUGAAGUAGCUAAAGUGUUUUUGAAGUAUAAAAGAUGGAGAAUAUUUUUAUAAGAAAAUUUUGUCAUAUUUACAAAAUUUGUUGACUCUAAUUUUAAUAUUUCCAAAUAUUAUUUGACUUUUCUAACUUAUUUUCUCUAUUUUUUUUUCUUCUUCUCCAACUUUACUUCUAUAUCUUGAUACUCACUUUCUUUCGAAGUUAUUUUUAUCUAAUACUUUUUUUUUACAACAAGAGUAUACCUACAUAUUCGAAACAAGCACAUUUCAUCAACAUCAAUUGUACCUAUAACCCUUAACAUAACAAAGAAUAAAGACACCUGCUUGCAAACAAUCACAUCUCAUGAAAGAAUAAUAAAGAGUUUGAAAGCCACAUAUACUUAAAUGAUCAUCUCAUCGACCAAGGGGUAAAAUAGACAUUUUGAAACAUUUGAAGGAUAAAACAUGUAAAAAAUAUUCUCCUUUAUACUACCUUUUAUAUAGAUAGCAUAUAUGUAUAUAUAUAUUUGCAAUAUAUAAGUUUAUCAAAAUUUGGUCCAUGAGAUCUAGUCAUAUAUUAUUAACCUUUUCAUUUUUGAUUUGAUUUAAGAUUCUCUCUAUUUUAAGAACUGCUUUGUUGAUUUACAUCAAAGGUAAUAUAGUCAUUAGCCCUUUUUAGAUUCUGAUUAAAAUAGUUUUUUUUAUGACUAAUUAAUUAGGAUGCUUAUCUAAUUCCCUUUUUGAUAUUUUUAUAAACAAUGAAUAUAAUAAUAAAUAAGAAAAAACUACCCUUUUCCCUCCCUAAGUGUUGAAGGAUAUGUAUAUUUGAUUCCGAGUUUUACAAAAUAUAUAAUUUUAACCCAAAAUUUAUAAAAAUAAAUUCAUUUAUCCCUAGUUUACAAAGUAUAUCUCUUUAGUCAUCGUAAAAGCUUAAAUUUUAAAAGUCUCUCAUUAUUGUAAAUUAGAAAAAUAAAAUCAUCAAAUAUCAUAUAAUUAUUAAAAAGAAGAUUUCAAGCACGAAUAAAACCUUUUUAAAAAAAUUAAAGAACUAAAAAUUGCAAUAUUUUUUUAAAUUGAAGAACUAAAGUGAGGGAGACAUUCUUCAAAAUUUAGGCACCAAAACCAUCAUUUUUCCUUACGAAAAAGAAAAAGAAAAGUGGGCUUAAGGAAAUGCUGAGAAUCAAUGGGCCAGAAAUAGAAAGAACGGGCCGUGAAGAAAGAAGGGCAAAAUAGUAAAAUGACCAAAGUCUUCCACCGUAUUUCUUCAAAACUUCCCCCAUUGAAACAAAGAACAUCAAAACAAACCCCCCUCUCCUCUUAAAAUCCCCUCUUCUUUUAAUCUGCCAUGGCCGCCAUAUCCCCUCAUUUCUCCAUUUUCAUCUUCUACAUUUCCCUAAUCUCUCUCUCUCUUCCCUCAUCCCUUUCUCUCUCCUCCACCACCAUUCACGAUCUCCUCCGCUCCAAAGGCCUCCCACCCGGCCUUCUCCCAAAAGAAGUGAAAUCCUAUUCUCUUUCUCCAAACGGACUCCUCAAAGUGUUCUUGGAUGGUCCUUGUUUAACCAAAUACGAGAACAGAGUUAUUUUUGAAAGCGUUGUUACAGCUAAUCUCAGUUAUGGAAGUCUAAUCGGCGUUCAAGGUCUCACUCAGGAAGAGCUCUUUCUAUGGCUUCCUGUUAAAGAUAUAAUCGUUGAUGAUCCUAAAUCUGGUUUGAUUCUGUUCGAUAUUGGUGUUGCUCAUAAACAACUCGCGCUCUCCUUAUUCGAAGAUCCGCCUAGUUGCAAAUCGCAGUCCAAAGGUAUAGUGAAAUUAAAUUAGGGUUUCCAAUUAUUUAAUUUCCUCGAUUGCUGUCCUGAAUUUGGUUUUUCUGUUGAAUAUUCGAUCUGAGGGAUUUGAUUAAUUUAGAUAUAUAUAUAUUUUUACUUAUUUUUUGUGUAGGGGUUUUGAGGAAUCAUGUGAGGAAGGAGAAAGGAUUUGAAGGUUUCAGAUAGAAAUGAGGAAGGAAAACGCCAAAAUUUCUGCUGGAAAAUUUUGUCUUUUUUUUUUUUUUUCCAUAAUGGUUAUAUAAGUAAAUUAGUUCAAAUAAUAGUUUAUACUGUAAUACGAGUUGAGUUUUUAUUUAUUUUAUUUUAUUUUUUGUAUAAAAAAGAAAAAAAAAGAGACGAUUUUCCUUUUGUUGGAAUCCUAUGCCUAUAUUUGAUUUUGCAAUUUUAUUUUUUUUAAGUAUUUGAUAUUGUGUAGGGUAAAUCUUUAAUAAUGACGGAGAAAAUAUGUACAUAUAUAUAUCAUUAGCGUUAAUACAUGUCUUGUCCUUUGCCAACUCAUCAAUAAUGUUUUCAAUUAAUUAAUUAGUUUUUUUUUUUGGGGGGGUCUAGUCUUGGUUUGAAGCUCAAACUUCAAGGGUUUUACUUUGAUAAAUAAUGAAGCUUUGUUAAAUGUUUUUCUUUUAAACAAAUUUAUGAAUUAAUAUUUAUUUGAGUAAAUAGUAAUUAAGGUGAUUGUAUAAUUGGAGGUUUAUUUGUAGGAAAGAACCAUUUAUUUAUUUGAUAAUUGAAUGGAGCAUUUGAUGGAAAAAAGGUGUUUGAAUUAAUGUUGAGUAAGAUAGAGAUUAGAAGUAAAAUGAAGAGAUAGUUUGAUUAUGAUUUAAAUGGAUGCAUGUGUAUGGUGGAGUUGGUUAUGGAGAUGGUUGAUUAUGUUUAAGAAAGAAUAAGUAAUGUGAUGUGAUGCAUUUGGAGGAAGAAAAAGGGUGGGAAUUGGGAUAAGUAAUAAAUGAAAAAGAAAAAAAGAAAAAAGAAAAAAGAAAAACAGUGAGUGAAGAGAGGAGGAAUAAAGAAGGUUUUUAAAAAUGAUAAGUGUGAAAGGAAAAGCCAGAGAUCACGGACAGAAAUUGGGGGAAGGUAAAGGGUUGAUUAAAUUAUUAGGGUAGUGUAAAGGAGAAUAAUAAUAAUAAAUAACAAAAAUAAAAAAGAAGAAAACGGAAUUAAUAUUUGGGGUUUUAAGGUGUGUGAACUGUGAAAGGGAUCUUCUACUUUUAAUUCCCUUUUUACGCGGGAAAUCUCACACUCCAUUAUGAGUUGGGCUCCACAUUUUGUCUCUCCUGCCCCCACACCCCCACACCCCCUACCUCAAUGCCUCAAUGCCUCAAUGCCUCAAUCCUCCUUUUUCUUUUCUUUCUUUAAAUAUUCUUCUCUUCAAUAUUUAUACGCUCACUUCUUUAAUUGCUAUUGCUAGGUUCAUAUUUUUAAACAUAUUUCUUAUGCCUUUAUGGGUUCAAUUUUAUACCAUUUUAAUUUAUAUUUCUAUUACAUUGCACAACAACUUACAAACAUAUCAUUAUUAUAUUAUUUAUAUAAAUAAUAAACAACAAUUAUUUAUUUAUUCUUUAAUUUUAUUUUUAUAAACUUUUAGAACUCUUCAUCAAUCAUUUUUACAUUUUAUCCAUAUUUCUAUUCAAAUUUAUGGAAAAUUAUGACAUCUUUUUUCUUCAAUAUUGACAUUUUUUAACUUUUCUUUGGUUGAUAUCCCUAUACUUUAUGAAUGUUUAUUUGUGUAACAUUCCAAAUUUUUAUUAAUUAUCUUAAACAAUUUCCACUUAUCUCGAGGGUUUGAGCUAAAAGAUUAUUCAUGAUUGAAUUUAUGAAAUUUUAAAAUAACUGAUUUUUUUUUAGAAAGAUUUAGUUAAUUAAAAGAAUUGAGAAGUUGAGUUGAUUUAGAAUCUUCAAAACAAAAGUUGGGUUUGGUGAAAUUAGAAUUAAAUUAAGUAUAUAUAUAUAUAUAUAUAUAUGAGUAUGUAUAUUUCAUUAUGAAUUUGGAUUUUGGUGGAAUAUGAUAUUAAUUAUUUGGUUUUGUAUAAAUAAUUAAUAUGAAAAAGAAAAGUCAAUUUGUAUAAUGAUAUAUAAUUAUAAUUGUUGAAAAAUAAGAUAAUUAACGAGGAUAGAUGAUUGAAUUGAUUGGAUGAGAAAAGAUAUGACACCUGCUUGCUCGUCACGAGACGUGAUGUGAUGUUAGUCGAAGUCGUUCACCUCCGAAAAUAACCUCAACUAACACAUAACAUGAAAGCGUGAAACAAUCAACAUCAAAAGUCUUUUAACUUGAAAUACUUUUUAUUUCAGUGUAACUCAUAUGAAAUCUUUACAAAAAUACAAUGGAAAUCGAAUAAAUCAUGAAGUUAUGAAUAUUUGAACAAACACAAUGUCCUUGUAUAAUGAAAAUUAAGUUGGCUUGGCAGCAGUAUAUUCAACAUGCAGAGAUCCACAAUUUGUACCUGAAAAGUGAAAAAACAUUUUUGAAAGGAUAAGUCGAAAGACUUAGUGAGCAACUUUUUUAUAAAACAUGAUUAUCAUAAACAUUUUAGUAUAAAACCGAAAAUACAUUUAUCAGUAAAUAGUCAUAACAUGAAACUUAAAGCAUUUUCAUAGCUUUUCGAAGACAGUCCUCCAUAGCCACGGGCAGUAUUUACACCUUUGUCCGAAGAUGGAACAGUCGAUGGAUAGCUAACCCUCCUCCUUUAAGGCAUGAUAAUAUACCCUUCCUGAUUAUCCAUGGUUAAAAAUAGGUUCGUCAACCGUACCAUCAAUAUGGAGUUAACCACAUGUAUACACUAGGUCUCAUAGAAUAUUCGGGCAUGAAUAAAAAACACUUGAAAAAAUGAAAUGUUUCCUUGACAGUUUUGAAACAUUUUCUUGAAAUCAUGAAAUUAUAAUGUAGCUUGGAUAUAUUAUUUCAGUAAACUUUAUCAAUAUAACAUAGCUUGUAUAAGAACUUGAGAUCAUGUUUAGCAAAUUAUUUUAUGAGCUAUUGCUUGUAUAACAUGAAAACAUGUUCAAUAAAUAAUUUAGAAAUCAUGGUGUUACUCACAAUCACUUGAAUAUAGCUUUGGCCUCAUGGAUUCUUCCUAAUCCUCCUUGUCCUGAAAAAUUUAUAUUCUAUCCUCGAUUAAUUCCUUGAAAAUGAAAAUAUCAAAAAGUUUCUUUAAAAUUUUCAAAAAUAUCAAGACAUUCCAAAACAACUCGAAAACAACCAAUUGGAGCCCAAUGACAUGGUGUAGGGGGCUGGUCACCACGCGUGUGCAUGGCCUUGGGGCCUACCGCAUGCUUGACGUCUACCCAGCGCCCCUUGCAUGCAUAUAUAACACACGCGUUGGUGCUUCCCGCACACCAUGUGCCACACUAACCUCUUAAGGCAGGGUCAUGCGUGCAGCCUAAGCAUAUGCCUUGUCGCUCGGUUGUGCCAUGACCUUGUCAUAUGCGUGCAAACUGACCUAAAAUAACCUCUAAUGACUAAAACACUCGUCCAUCUCGUCUUACAUGCAUGACUCGUAGCCACUACCUAGACACUGUUUAACUUUCAAAAUCAUGACCCAUAUUUGAAAAAUCAUAAUUUAUAAUUUAUAAUUCUUUUGAUAAAACUUCCAUCUAUAAAGUUACUCUAAAUUGUAUUAACUUUCUUACCUCAAAUUUGCGAGGAAAAUUCCAAAUAAUGAGUCUUGUAGCCCUCUGGAAGUGCACUUUACUCAAAUUCACCCAUGAAAUGACUUUCUCACUUUUCCUUGAUGAAAAUGCAAAUAUCCUUAAAUCCAAAAUAUACAAAAACCCUCAUAAACUAGACUCAAUUUUUUAACUUUCAAGACCAAAAUGAGUGAUUUUGUAUAAGUAAGUUGUGAGAAAUUCACUGCUGAAGUUGGCCUAUUUAUAAAUUCCCUUGCAUGCGAUUAAGAUGAUACUUAAUCCUUGAUUAGACUCACCUCUUAUGCAUGUACUUGCACCUCAUCACCUCCUCCAUGUCCUCCUUGAUCAUAAAAUGUAUGAUGACAUGGUUAGGACAACUGGACUUACGUUUAACCGAAAGCCCUAGUCAUGACACGUUGAUGCCUUAAACACAUGGCUAACCUCCAUGGUCUUGCUGCAAAGCCUUGGCCGCCUAGUCUCCUCGCAUGUCCAAGCCUUCCUCACCUAGCUAACCUCUUAAUCAUCGAGAUAAAAUGCUAAGCAAGUCUUUCUGGCAUGACAUGCCCAUGUCUUCCUCGCAUGAUAACCUCUAAACACUCGGCCGCAAGCCUUCUUCACCUAGCACUCCUCCUCGCGUGGACAAGCCUUCCUCAGCCAUACUAACCUCCAAUUCCAGCCUCCUUGCCAAGCCUAAACACCUAGCCACCCCUCAAGGUAUCCUUCUCGCCUAGCUAACCAAACACCUAGGCAUCACCUUUGAAGGUUAGUUUCUUUACUUGGUCGCCUACUCCACGUCCAAACGCCUAGCUUGGAGGUUCUUAAACCUCUUCUUGUCGUCCAAUGACCCUUCCUUGGAUGUUUUCUUAGCCUUUCUUUGUCGUUCAUACUACCUCCAAAUGCCUAGUGACUUAAUUUUGACACUUCAGUAAAAAUGUUCAACUUUUCUCUUUUCCUCAAGUUUAAAAAAAUCUAAAUUCCAAGUAUUUUAUUCUUUUUUCUAUAAAUUUUAUUUUCUCUUGUCCUUGACUGAUCUUAACAAGUUUUAAAGGUUUAAGAAGUUUUGGGGUUUCACAUAAAGCCCCUUCUAAUUGUAUUUCUCUUACAUGGGAGGAAGAAUACAAUGACACAAAGUUAAAGAAUGAAAGAGCAUCCGAAAAGCCAAACCCACAUAAAAAAAUCACCUAAGAAAGAGACUCCAAACAAAAAAAAUAUGACAUGAAGAAUAAUUACAAAAAGAUUUUGACACCGGCACCCAAAGAAACAUGGAAUUUGACAAGAUGGUAUUGUCAAAACCCACUUCUGGUCAAAAUCACUUUAAAUCUACAAUAGAGGGUUUUGAACUAUAAUAACAUACAACAAAUGACAAAGAAAAUGCAAAACUUUGCACUGAGAGUUUUGAACUACAAUAGAAAUUCCACAAUUUGGGUGGGAGAGGGGAGGGGGGCAUGUCUAAAUGAUCAAAAGCAACACCUCAACAAACAAUAGCUCCUUGGGUUAACUUUGGUAUGUAACAAUUCAACAACACUUCAACAAAAGCAACACUUCAACAAAGACUAUCAUAGUUGCAAGAUAAUAAAACAAUAUCUCCUUAGCUAACCUAGGUUAGCUAGAUAUCUAGGUUAAAAAUAAUUUGGCUUGUAUAUAUCUCCUUGUGUUAUAUAUAGUUGAUUAUCUAGGUUAUAAAACAUUCUUGGUCCCUCAAGAUUCAUAAAAGUAACAAUUUAGUCCUUACGAAAAUUUUAAUUUUGUAUAAAUUUAAUUAAGCUAGUCUUUGAACUUUGGUAUGUAACAAUUUUAUCCUUACACUUUCAAAUUUGUAACAUUUUAGUUUCUAAUGUAAAAUAAAUAAUCAAAACUUUAUGUCAUUUUUUAUUAUAUGAUGUAGAAGACCUUAUAUAUAAUUUUAUAAAAUAAUGUAGUCUCUCGUUAGUUUAUCAAUUUAUUUACGCAUGAAAUCUCAUUAAAUUUUUACAUUAGUUUCUACAAUUGGGACUAAAUCAUUAUACAUUUUUAAGUUCAAAAACUAAAUUAUUACAUAGUAAAGUUGAAGGACUAAAUUAUAACAAAAUUAUAAAAAAUUUAAAGAUUAAAUUGUUACUUCUAAAGAUAAGUGAGUGAAUGUGAUUUUCAACAGUUUUUUAUGUAUUGAAAGUAAAUUUUGAAAAGGGUUAUAACCUAAAUUAAUUUUAUUCAUUGUCAAUGAUUAAUAGAUUAUCUCUAUCAAAAAUUUAUGAUUUAUUCAUUUUAAAUUUGAAUGAAUAUAAUUUGGGAACAUAGUUGUCAAAAAAAGAAAAACAAAAAUUGAACAUAUAACAAAUAAUUGACUCGAAAGUUGUACAUUUUAAUUUGGUUUCAAGUGCCUAAAGGUUAUUUCUCCUUUUUUUUUAAAGCAAGAAUGUUGAGAUUAUCAUUAUUUAGUAGGUGCAAUGUUAUGAUCAAGAGCUGUCCCAACUUGACUUAUUAUAUAAUUAGUUUUGUAUGUAAAUCUUCAUGUAUUUUAUUGUCUAUUGAAAACAAUUUGGUGGGGGCAAAAAUAAGGAACUUCCAAUAAUUAUGUAUAUUUCUAUUUUAAAAACCCAAUCUCAGAAAAUAUUUCUUUUUUCAAUUUUAGUUAUCUAAUUUUAAUCUAUACAUUUCAAUAUAUUUAAUUUUGUAUCUCAAAUUAACUAAUAAUAAUAAUAAUUUUCUUACAAUUUUUUUAAAAAAAUUAUACAAAGAAAUGUUAAUAGAUAAUAAAAGGUUUUAUUAGCGCAUAUUUUAGAAUUAAUCUGUAUAGUUUGAUACUAAGAUAAUUAAAUGUUAUUUAACUUAGUUUAAUUACAUUUGCCACUUAGGUUUAGCAUUUAAAGUUCUUUGAACAUUGUUGGGGAUGAGAAACUAACUCUAAUGAAAGAUUUCAACAUCUCUUCACGUCUCUCAAAUUUUUGUCAACACUUGGUCGUCAUGAAAUUUUUAUUCACGUGUUCUAAUUUCUCAAGUGUCAAUCUUUUAUGUUUAACAAGAGUAGUUCUAAGUUUACGACUAAUAUGCAGCUAAAUAGGGUUAUGUGAUAAAAAGUGCAUUUUUAUUCAUGCAUUGCUAUCAUAAGAAUCAAACACAAGUUUUCUCCUCUGCCACCCAAGUGCAAGCGAAGAGAAGUUUUCUGGUAAGUCUAGAGUUGAACAUAGGAAAUUUAAGCCCCUAUUUUAUCGUAGUAAAUGAUGGGUAUACGCUAUACAGUAAGAAUAAGAACAUUAUGAUGUUAGUUCUAGAUAUUUACACUACUGUGUUUGGCGGUGUAAGGUGAAUAUGAGAGUAUGACAUAAUGUGAUAUGAACUCAGUGUAGACAUGGCGAGGAAGGAAAAUUGAAUUAACUAACGACAAUGAUUAAUGUUUUAAGACUUUGAGGUGACACAAAGUAUAUAUUAACUAAGAAUUAAGGCGAGCAACUUGCCAGCGCUUCUGCCAUACUUGCUCCCCUUUCAAGGAUGCAAAACUCUUAGUUAAGCUAUGAUUUAUAUCCAAUCAUCUCAAAUACAAUAACAGUAGCUAAUCCUUAUACUUAGGACGUACACCUUUCAGUGCUUUCAACACACACAUCAACCUCAUGGUUAAACAGAGAAGGUCUAUCUCAACCUCAUCCCUGACCAGGCUGAUAAAACUAUUUUCACUCAUGUCCAAUUAGCCCUUUUCCUUGAGCCUGCUUUAUCAACUAUUUCUCAUUUCUUAUCUUAUUAUGGUCCUACACAUUGGACAAAUUGCAUUUAGAUCAUCUAUGGGACGUGGUCAACCGACUCAACAUCUUUGUUAGACAGACUAUGUUAAGACGUAGGCUAUGUUGGGCCUUUGACCCUCAAACUAAGAUAAGAGGUUCAACCUCGGUCAAUUAAGAUCGACCAAGGCCAAUGUAUCCAUGAGCCUAUUAGUUUAGUCUUUUCUUGCUCUCUUUUGACUAUUUUACCAUUGAUUCUAGAAUCAACGGGUAAGACGGACAAUAAACUAGUUUUGAAGUGUCAAUUUAAGUUUAAUAAAAAUUUAAAUUCAAAGGUACAGACACUAAAAUGAAAAUACUCUCUAAAGUUCAAAUACAAUUAAAAAAAGAAGAAGAAUUUAAGGAGGGUUGAAACCGUUGGAGAGAUUAAAAGUAAAAAUGGAUUUGGUUGGAGAGAUAGUAAUCAUUCAAAAUAUUGAAAAAGAAAAUGAAAAAGAGAGAGAGAAAUAAAGAUGGAAAGAAAAAGAAAGAGACAAAGUAAUAUAUUUAUUAGAGCAUUUUGUUGUAUUUAAUAUGUAGAAUAAAAUGAUUAAGAAUGAUUGUAUUGGUGAGCUUUUGAUAGGUUCUAAAUAAAUAAAGUGGUGAGGAAAGAAGACAUUAAAAAAUAAAAAUAAAAAAACUAACUAAAAUUAUGGUGUUAAUUAGACUUCUUUCGAACUUCAGGGGCCACCUCUUAGACUUUUAACACACUUCUUUUCCUUUUUUUCUUCCCUUCAAAAUAUGAAUUUAACUCUGCAUUUUUCUUUUUCUUUUUUUUUUUUUUUGUUUUGUUUUAAGCACUUAUUACAAGAUACUUGUGUUUUAUUAUUAUUUAGUGAAUGAAUAUUACAAAAUCAAGCAACAAAACUCUCUCUCUAAAUACAUCCUUAACAACAAAUUCAUCUUCAUUUACUAUUUUAUUUGUAGAUGGUACUUUCAAACCUAUUUUUUUAAAAAAACAACCACUAAAUUGUGUACCUAUUAUACAAAAGUAAGAGACCAAAAGGGGUAAUUUUCCAUCAAAAAGGAAUUUAUGUGUCAACGCUCCUGCAUGCUUAAGUAAAGUUUUGUUUCUAAUAUAAGAUUUAUGUGUUUACGAACCACUAAUUGGAUAUUUUAUUGAAAUAAUGUUGUUUACAAAACUUAUUACAAAAAUAUGUUUUUUUUUAAACAAUUUAGACAAAUAAUUGGUUUUAAACAUAAGGUCGAGCGUUGAAUUUAAGAAAUUUUUUUAAUAAGUGGCCCACCAUCUAAUUUUCUUUACUCUUUUUUAGUUACUUUCUUAACUAAAGUUUAAUUUCAAAUUAUUAUUAUUAUAGAUAUUUUUUAAAAAAAAACUUAAUUGUUUAAUUUUUACAAAAAAAAAAAAGUAAUUUUUAAUUUUCAAUUAUCAUAUAUACAUAUAUAUAUAUAUAUAUAUAUAUUAAUAAAAAAAAACAUGAUUUUAACCCUUUUAGAAUCGUUAGUCAUAUUAAUAUAGUUGUGAGAGUAUGACUAAAAACUAAAGGUAGUAUCAAAUUUGAUCCUAGCCUACUAUAAAAUAUGAAAUUCAUAUCCUAAUUUUGGUAGGAUCAAAAUAAAUCCUACUCAAAUAAUAGUUUCAUACAAUCAUCUAAUAAUUUCUUACUUUUUCUCUAAUAUUCAAUUAUUUUUAUUUUAGACCUCUUGUCUUCAUGAACAUAUAAGUGUCAGUUGAACUAAACUCAUGUUGGCAAUAUUCAAUUUUCUUACUGGACUUAGACAUUCCCAAUGUAACGUGAGGGUGGUACAUUUUCUUUGACCAAAAUUUGAUAUCCUGUGCAUGUUACUUGUACGUGUGUGCAACAUGUAGAGAGUAGUAAAGGGGUGAACAUAAAUAUUGGGGAGAGACCUACACGAUCAUGUACCAAAAUCUCAAUAAUCUUGGUAAACGAUCGUUUAUAUUUAUAGUGAAAGAAAAAGAACAUGAUACUGCUAAUGGAAAAAUAAUAAGGAGAUGACGCUGAAUAUGAGAUAUGACAAAGAAUGAAAAAAAUAUGGAAUAGUCACGGAGAUAUCACGAAUAAGAAGAUGGGUAAAUAUGGAGAAGGAGAAUGAGAACUAAUAAGAUGAGUAGACAUUCAACGCGAAAUUCAAAACUAAUAAGGGCAAAUCUAGAAUUCAUACAAAUAUUGAGUGGUUUCAUAGACUUUUAUUUUUUUGUUAUAUGGGCUACAAAUAUUUUUUAAUUUUGUUUUAUAUAUGUAAUUAACUUUUUUUAUUGAUUCAAUCUAGUUUAAUUUUUGUUUUUAUGUGAUCUUUUUAUUAAUUCAAAUUUUAUUCUAGUGUUUUUUGUAAUGAUUAAUUAUGUAUAUUGUUUGUCGUUUUUUAUAUAGAAAAUGACAAAAAUUAUGUGUCAUUUAUAUUGUUUACAAAUGACCCUAUGAUAAACCUCCAUGUGAAAACUUUGGUGCACUUAUAUGUGACUCUGCCUUCAUUUGUUAGUCAAGCCAUCCGUUGAACCAUUUUGCUAUUUUGGUGAGUACUUGAUUGGGUUUUUGUACUCCCAUUAAAUAUUUAUAUUUUUAUUCUAAAUAGUUUAAAUUAUGGAUUUAAGUUGGAUUAUUUUCUUUUGGUUUGAUUGGUUUUUUUUUUUUGGAUUAGUCAUUUAUAUAAAUUAUACCCAAAGGUUGAUUACCAAAAUUGUUGGACUGAGUUAAAUGAGAAUUGACUGUCAACAAAAGAAAUAUUGUUUUAGCUAAUCUCAAUGUAAAAGAUUCUACUACUAGACAUUCAAAAGUAAAAUUAAAAUAUAUUUUUUAUUAUGCAUUGAUGUAGCUAAGAAGCAUAAUGUGAUUGAUAUGGAUGAUUGAUAUGUUAUGAUUGAUAUGAUAUGACUGAUAUGUUAUGAUGAAUGAUAUAUUAAUCACAUGAUAAUGACGUUAUGAUUGAUAUUCAUGUCAUGUUAUGACAUUUAUGAUAUGUUACAUGCUAUGAAUGAGUGUUUUGUUAACUUUAUUCAAUAACAAGCGAUUACUUAAAAAUUUACGGACUUUAAAUAAUAUAAAAUGAAUGGAUUACAAUGGUAAACAUCCAUAAAUUAAAAAUUUAACGAAAACAUAUAUUUUAAAAUUAAAAAAAAAAUUGGAAGAAAUUUCAUCAAUUUAAAAAGAUAAGGAGUACACAUUUUUAAUAAGUUCCACUAACAAUAAAAUUAAUCUUCAUAAAAAAAAUAGACUUUUUCGUUGGAGAGAAAAAAUAGAUUAGUAUUAAAUUUUAAGAAUUUAGUUUUUAAGAACGGAAAAUAAAAUUCAAAUUUAAUAAACAUAAAAAGAAUUAUAUGAAAAAUAAAAACAAAAAAAAAGUAGAAUUUAGUUUUUAAGAACAAAAAAAAAAAAAUUGAAAAAAAAGUGAAAAACAACCCUACUUUACUAAAUAGUUUUAGAAAAAAACAUUGUUAAUAUAAUUAUUCCCCACUGAUUGGUACAAGUAUUUAUUACUACUUGGAAGUUUGGUCCUUACAAUGUGUUGCUUAGGCUGUUGGUCAUGCAACUCAAUGUUAGCAUCGGGUUUUUUACCUCAAAAUAUAAGAUUAAGUAGGAACAAUAAGCAUUGGAACUUGGAAGUGCAUGACGAGGCAACUUGGUGACGGUGCCAUGCACUAGUAUCAGUGUUUUGACUUACAACCCUUGAGUUCUCCACCGGCUUCUCCUUUUCACAUAGAAGAAGAAUGGUACGAUUUUCACCGUCCAUCUGCUGGCUCCUUCAACCUAGCCUCACAUUUGAUGGCAUUGGCUGUGCAUGGUUUUCAGAUCUUGGCCUUUCCAUCAAGGCGAUCCUAGCCUGAAAGUAUCCCCACUGGUUAUGAACAAAGAAAAAAAGAGGAAUGAAAGAAACUAUGGAUCCUAGACAGUUCUAUAUCAUAUGACAAAAAAGCACAACCACUGCUAGAGGAGUUUUUUUCAACUUAACAUUAAAUUGUUAUGGCUUCACCUUUUCUUUUGUUCUGGGAUUAAGGUUCUGCUUUCUAAUGGCUCUCCUUCUACAUUGAUGGGCUUCAUGAAGUUUGGUCGUCAUCGAAUUUGAUUUGCUUCAUAAAAAAGGAUCACUAUGUUGUUUUUUGUGUCCAAUUUACCUCAUUUGUAUUUUAUCAUUUAUUGAUUGGCUAGUACAUUUUUAUCCCUCUUCUCCUCGUUCUCAUUUGGUUGUAUCUUUUUCUAUUUGGGUUUUGCUUUUGGCUUAUCGGGUGUUCUCCUCUUAUAGGCUAUCUCUAUUGGAAUGGAUCCCCUGACUUGGCCGUUUUCACUCUAAAUGUUUUUUUUUUUUUUAUCAACGUUUUUAGGAGCGAACAAAAGAUUUGUCUUUUUCCCAUUAAAUUGUUUUUACAAUGUUCUAUUUAUUUACAAAAUUUUAUUUUACCUCAAAUUUGUCAACUAGUUUUGGUUGGGAAAAUUGUAUGUAGGUGGUAAUGACCCCUAUUAGAGAUCUCAAGAAGUCGGGUUACUCACCUUUCUUUUUUCUUCUUCUUUUGCAUCCAUGAUUUUCAUACUUUUUUUAUGGAAUUAGCUGUGCUUUAGCACUUCACCGUUUCUUGUGGUUGUUUUUACUUUUGGGUGAUUGAGUAGUUAGUUUCAUUUAAGAAUAUGUCUCAAAUUCAUGAAUUGUUCUUAUAUCUUUUAGUGGAAUAAUAGUUGAAGCUGCCUUCAGAAGACAUGUCGCACAACAAGUUGUUUGUUAAAAAGACGAAGUCUGGGAAGGUGAUGAGGGUCAGUAAAUUACUAAUCUUGGGCCUUAUUUUAUACAUCUCAUUAGUUUCCAUCCUUUUAUUGUUACUUUGUUCCUUUGGGUUUUUGUUCUUCAUGACAGCAAGUGAGAGAACACUAUCUUCGAGAUGAUAUAUAUUGUGGGCUUCGCUUUGCAAAAAUGUGAGUCUUCAGUUGCUUGUUUGGGUGCUUCUACAUCGCCAAUUCUAGUUCUCGACACCAAUGUUGUUCUUACUCAGGUUAUUUUCGUCUGGUUUCUGUUGUCAACAUUGAGCUUUCAACUUUUAGUGUUUUAUGAAAUGAUGCGUUUUUACAGAUUGGUUUGCUUGAGAAUUCUGCUAUUGAUGACGUGGUUAUGCUAUCAGUUGUGCUGGAUGAGGUUAAGAACAAGAACCUAUCUGUUUACAACAGAGUUAGAGCUCUCUGCAGCAAUCCCCUGUGGAGAUUCUUUGUUUUCUUUAACGAGCACCACAAGUAUGCUUUCUAUAUAUGCUUUCUAUUUACACUUUCGUUAUUGCUGCCUUUCAGAGUCAUCUCUAAAUAAUAUUGUACUAUUUAAUAAACAACAGGAUAAAUUCACACUUGGCUUGGAGAUUCAAAAUCUUUCAUCUUUUAUUGUAUUUCUGAACUACAUGAAAAUUUGGGAUAUUGCUAUUUUCUUCUAACUCAUUUGCUAAUACCAACUUCUAGUUAGAAAUUGUGCCAAUCAAGAGUUGAUUGGAGUACCUUUGGUUUUACUUCUACGUACAUCAAGCUAGUGUGUGGUUUUAUGCAUCUUAAGUAAAAACUGAAAGAAAAAACUAACUAUGACUUAUAGGAGCUUUACUAGGGCUUAACUAGUUAUUGUAAUUGCUGAAUGAAGUAUGAUGCCUAAGUUUUUCAUAGUAAAUGAACCUACAACUCUAAUGUGGUGUGUUUCCCUAUAAAUCUUUUUAUAACCUCCCAUGGGAUAAACUAUCAAAAUAUGUACGGAAAAACUUGAACUUUCAUGGUGGCUAGAAUUUUGAGUUUCCUUUAAUGAUAUUAUUUUUUGGCAGGGAUACAUAUAUUAAGGACAUGAGUGGAGAAAGUAAAAUGAUCGAAAUGAUGGAGGUAUUCUCUUGAUAUUACAUAAGUUGAUGCUGUAAUGUUGUACUGAAGUUGGACUGUAUAUAGUUCUUUCAUCCAUCCUCUCUAUCCCACUUGGACAGUAUUUAUAGCUGAUACGUAUUCAUGCUAACAUUCUAGUUCAUCAUUUACAGUAACUGCCAAAGUAUUCUCUAUGUUUGUUUUCAUAAGCUAAUAACUGAGAUAAAUCAUAAAUGCUUGCUUAAAUUGUGUUGACAGUUAUCUCUAACAUUGUGAUUCAGCCAUUCGAGUGGCUGCUCAGUGGUAUCAAAAUCAUCUUGGUGGUGCUACUUGUGUUCUACUCAUAACCAAUGACAGAGAGAAUAGGAGAAGGGCUAUGGAAGAGGGAAUUUGUGCAGAGACAAGUAUGUUAGAUGUUUAUUUAUUUUUAGCUUUGCUUCAAGCCUCUUGGUGUCUACCAUGUGGCGUGCUUGUAAUGAUUAUGUUCUCUCUCUUGCUCUCAAGCUUUUUAUGUCAUGCUGGUUAAUUUGUUUGGUCUUUACAGUUGAAUCUUAUGUUAGAUCAUUGGGGCAAACUCAUUUACUUGAUCUGUUAGUGCAAAGUGCAAAUACAGAUGCAAAUAAGGAGGAUGUUGAAGAUUUGAGGCCAUCGAAGAGAAAGGUUCUUUACUCCGAGGUAUUACAAUGAAUAUGCUAAACUAUAUUUAUUUCAGGAAAAAUACUAGAGUCUUAUAAGGUUUCUGGUUAUUAACAUAUCCUACUCUUCUUUCUUUCAGCAUAAACCCAUGUCAGAAAUUGCUUCUGGUUUGCAUCGUGGUAUAUAUCAUCAAGGAAAGCUCCGUGUUAAUCGAUACAACCCAUUUGAAGCAUAUGUUGGAAGUGAGAGUAUUGGUGAUGAAAUUAUUAUUUAUAGGCGUACCAACAUGAACCGGGCUUUUGAUGGUGAUGUUGUGGCAGUUGAACUUCUAUCUCGAGAUCAGUGGCAUGAAGAGAAGUCUCUGACUAUAGCAGACGAAGGUAAUUUUUUUUUUUUAUUCUCACGAAUAUUUUAUUAAUUGAAAACUGAGAAGGGUAGUGUGAAUUAUGUAAGGAUCUAACGUACAAAUGUGUGUGUGGAUGUUUGUGUAGGGUGAAGGGGGGAUAAGGAUUAGGUUAGAGUCAUAUUUUCACGAAUUAUGAGAAUUCUAAUUAUAUGAUAACUUAAAUAUGAAAAUAUAGAAAGUUUAGCAAAUUCCCUGAGUGAAAAUGACUAAAGACUUUCCUUUGUGUUUCCAAUAUAAAUUUCUAUUCAGUAUGGUUGGUGGCCUGGCUGGUGGGAGGGGGCAAAGGAGGAUUAGGUUGGGAGUCUGAUUUUCAUGAGUUAUUACAAUUUCAAUUAUAUGCCAACUCCAUGAAGAUGGCAAAAAGGUUAACAACGUCCCUGUCAGGAAGUUACUAAUUAAUUUUCUCUGUAUUUCUAAUUCAAGCUUAAAUUGUGCUUUGAAUUUCACUCUCUCUCAUUCUUUCUCACACACACACGGGCGGUUGUGCACACACACACAAUCCCAUUAUGAUGCACACAUGAUUGUAUUAUUGCAGAAGAUGAUGAGGAAGAAGAUGUUCAUCUUGUUCCUGGUAGGCUGAUGAUGCUCCAACAGCUGCAUCUAGUGGAGAUUCUUCUAGUUCACCACGCCCAGCUGGACGUGUCAUUGGUAUCAGAAAGCUUAACUGGCAUUCGUAAGCUGUUGUGGCAAUUUGUUAGAUUCCUCUGUUCCAUGGGGUGUCUUUUGCUGUACACAUUAUAUGCUUUCUCUUAUACAAAUAAAUACUUAAACAUGUUCUAGAUGUAUAUGUACCCAUAUAUAUUUUUGUGUAUACAGUAUAUAAGAUCAAGAUGACACUAACAUUUGUAGUUAAUGUUGAAAAUAUACUUCCACCUAGCUUUAUAGUUUUUUUUUGGGGAUUUUAUAAAUUUUGUCUUCUAUAUUACAGUUUUGUUUCUUUACUUUUUCAAGAUGGUUGCACAGAUUUUGUACCAUGGUGGAGUUGUUCGUUUGAUGUUUUUGAAAUUAAUGCAGUUAUUGUGGUUCCUUGAAUCCAAUGUCUAUGCCUGCUGGAAGUGGUGGCUUUGCCUCUGCUGUAUUUGUUUCCAAAGAUCAUCAGAUUCCUAAAAUUAGAAUCCAAACUCGUCAGCUUGAGAAUCUUUUGGACAAGAGAAUUAUUGUAGUAGUUGAUUCUUGGGACCGUCUUUCUAGAUAUCCUUCAGAACAUUAGUGCUAUCUAUAGGAGAAGUAGGUGAUCGAGAUACAGAAAGUGAAGUAUGCACAAUCGUUAGAUCAAUAAGAAAGCACUUUGCUAUUCUAUCUCUUAAUAUGCUAUCAAAACACAUGGUUCUUUAGAUGAUUUUCCAUAAUACCUACGGGGUCUAAUAAAUCUUGUUGGAUUUUUAAAACUUACGGCGGUGGGAUUUAAUUUUCAGAUGGUUAAAUAUAUUCAUAUACUAAUAACAUUUAAAAUAUUAUUUUAGGUGGAAGACCGAUUUGGACAUUGAACUUAUGAGCAUAUCAAUUUUGGCCAUAAACUUUGAAUUUCAUCAAAUUGGAUCCUAAAAUAUAUAUUACAAUUUUACCAUUAAUCAAUUUUGAUUAAGUUGCCCACAAAUUUUAACCGAUAGUAUUGUAAAAAUCCUAAAAAAUUCCUUAAUUUCAAUGAAAUAAAGUUUUGUACAAAUAUAAGUUUGACCAAUGCACAAAUAAACCAUGGAAUAACUUUGCCAAAAUUCAUAUACUUGAACAAAAAAACACUUUAGCUCUAUUGGUUUUUUUUUCCCUCUAACUUUUUUUGAUUUCAUAUGGUUUAAUGUGUAAUUUUGUUUUAUUUUAGCUUAAGAGAGUAGGUUGCACUUUAUGUAAGUAGGAGUUUUUUGGGAUGAUAGCUUUAAAAUUGUUAUUCUUUAAGUUUACCAAAAGAAAACUAACUCAACUUAGUCCAACUAUAGGCGGAAGCUUUGAUGCUUUCUGUGUAGGGUGAAGUCUUCAAGACUCACCUUUUAUUUUCUUUUUUUCUUUUUUUUUUCAUUUUCAUGCAAUUGAAUUUUAUUUUAAACCACAAAUAAAUUUUAUUUUUUUAAUAAAAUUAAAUCCUAAUUUUUAAAUUUAAAUAUCCAUUUAUUUUUCUCCCUCCAAUCAAAUUUUUUCAUUUGUUUUAAAAUCAAUUUUAUGGUUAUUGAAACUUAUUGAAAAUAUUGAGUUAAUUUUUAAAUUGAUGAAAUUUUCUUUAAACUUUUUCCUUUAUUUUUUAAAUUUAUGUUACGUUAAUUUUCUAAUUUAUGAAUAUUUAUGGUUGUAAUCCACUAGUUUUAGUACAGUGAGUGCUUUUGAGUUUUGUAUUAAUUUAAGAACAUAAAUUUAUUGUAAAUGCUUUUGAUUGAAAAAUAAUUAAAAUAUGAAAUAGAUAAUUUAAGCAUUUUCAUUCAAGGAGAAAAGGAUGGAUGUGUACUAAAUAUUUCGUUGAUUAAAAUUAGUUGUUACAAUCUUUUUUUUGUUGCCAAAGUUAAUUAAAAUAUUAUUAGUAUAUAACAGUAUAUUGGUUAUAUUUAAAUUAUAUUCACAUAAACUAUAAUACUUAUUAUUAUUAUUUAGUACUUAGAAGAUAAAGAUAUGAGAUAAAAACAAUAUAAAAAUAGGAAUAUUUUUUAAAAUAGCAAAAUAAAUUAAAAUAUUUACAAGUUAUAGCAAAAAAAAAUUGACUAUCAGUGAUAGGUACGUUACUAUUAUUAAAUUUAAUAACUCUACUGUUAUACGAAAAUCAUUUAUUUACAUUAUUUGAAAUGGUAACGUUUUCUUUUAUAAUUAAUUAUGUUAAACAUAAAAUUUUGAAAAGUUUGAAUAAAAUUAUAUCCAAUUUUGUUAGUUAAUCAUUUUCUUGAUCUCGUUGUUGGUGAAAAAAUUUGAAAAUGAUUAAAACGUAAUCAUCAUAUUUCAAAAGAAAAAUAAGUCAUAAUCAUGGUUCUUUUUUCUAUUUUUUAUUAUUUGCUGUAUUUAUUAAUUUUUUGCUUCAUUAUGUAUUUUUUAUUUCGUAACAGAUGAAGAUUACUAAAGAAAAUUGUGUAAAAAUUAAAAUAUUAGCGAGAUACAAGCACUAUAUAAUUAAUAAACUAACGUAAAAAUGAAUUAUAAUGAGAUUAAAAGUGCAUUGUAACCAUCAUCAUAAUUAUCCAUCAAAAAAGAAAUUAAUUAUGGAUUAAAAAUUAAGUACAAAUUUCUUAAUAUUAAUUCAAUAGGUUGAGAAAGAUUUCUGAUUUUAGGUUAAAUGAGUUAAUGUGGAGUUCCACUUUUGGCAAACCUUAGAUAUAUAGUUGAGAUUUAAGUUCAUACAAAUGUUAUUUUCUAUAAUAAUUAGACAAAUAUAAUAUAAACAUUGGAAAAAGAAAAAAGAAAUAAAGAAAUAAAGAAAUAAAGAAACCUUAAAAGAUGAGACAAAAUUAGUGGACCUUUAUUUUUGUGUGUUUAUGGUAUUGGGCCAUGAGGUUGUUUUUCCUGUAUUUACAAAAUCAAUUUUUAAAAUUCAAAUUAAAUAUAAUAUUUAUUAUCUCGUUUAUAAUUUAGAAAGACAUACAAAAAUGAAAUUGGAUGGAUGGUUUGUAAAAUCUAUUUAGAUAAUUCUUAAUUGAUAAAAAUUAUUUGAAAAUGAAUGUAAUUGAAAUAUAAAUGGAGUAGAAGAUUGAUAAUUUUAAUAUAUGAUUUGGUAAAGAUGUUAAGAAAAUUUUAAAAGAUUGGAAAGAAAAUGGAGAGAAAAAAGUAAUAAGUUUUAAAAAAUACAUUAGGAAUAGGAUGAUAUUUUAUAGUAUGUAGAAUGUAUUGGACGUAGGAGUAUGGAGGUUGUAGUUGCAGGAGGGAUAACCAUAAUAAUAUUAUUAAAACAAGACUUAGACUUGAAACCAAUGACUUACCUCUGAAGUUUCCAUCUUCCCGUCUUUACUACCUUUUCUCAAAACUCUAUUCUCAUACCUUCACUUCAACACUCGUUAGGGUUUCAAACCUUGCCUUCACUCUCCAAAAUCAUGCCGACCGUAGCUACUAGAUUCACCUCGAUGGCGACUGCCGGAGUCGGAGUUGUCAUAAACCGUCUUCGAAAAUCCCCGCCUGUUCAGUCAUUGGAGCAAUUGCUUUCCAAUUCCACUCGUCCUGUUUCCGCUCUCUCCCUCAACCCUCUCUUCACCGAUGAAACCGAGCUAGUCAUGGAGGCUGGGGAGCCAGUCCCUAGACUCGUAUUUGAUCGCUUCAUUAACCUUGAAGAAUCAAAGGAGUCCACAGCAGAUUUGAAGGAGGCCUUGGAUGCGUAAGAUCGAUCAUAACUCCUCAUUUUCCCCUAAUUUAUUUGAUUCUAUACUCAAUUUUUCGCCCAUGAUUGUAACAUUUUGCUGGAAACUCUGUUUGCAUGUCUUAAUUCUAGGAUGUAUCUUGAAUCAGAGUUUCCAUUCUCAUCCGAAAUUUCUCUGCCUCUGAACUCUGAGAUAGUACAUAACAGACCAGGGGUGAAGCAUGUUCAUCAAGCAUUUCAUUUGUUAUGCAAUUUCCCUGAAGUUCAGGUAAUUAAUUUUCACGCCAUUAAAUUUGAUUAGUAACCACAGCAUUGAGGUUCAAUGGAUCAAUUAAUAAUAAUUUCUCCAAGUGUUAGAGAAAUGAUAGGUCUUUGAAUUGAAUCUGUCUGUUUCAAUUUUCCAUUUGCUCUUCAGAAUGUUGUCGCCUCCGCCGCCGCGGACCUGAAGGUACAGGAAGCUGUGUUUGAGAAUCCUGAUGUCAAGAAAUUCAUCCAAUCAUUUCAAACCAGUAAUCACAAUCUUCAUUUUCUUUGGAAUCCAAUUUAUCUUUUUGCAGCUGAAAAAAUGUUGUGUUUCUGUUGCAAAACUUGACGAGGUUAAAUUUCAUGAAGGUUCUGAUACCGAUGAGGAUGAAGAUGAAGAAAAUGUUUCCCAGGUGGAGGAAUCAAAAGCAAGCGAAAUAAAAAUGACCAGGAAUCCGAAAGAUUUCGUAGUUAAAAUGGUGAAGAAUGUACUUAGUCAUUUUCCACACUUAUUUGGAUCUUCAGUUGUAGAGGGUAGUUCUGGAUCAGAUGAUAAAGAAAACUCAACCAUGAAAGGUGGAAAGUUUGGAUCAGGCUUUGUGCAAAAGCUCAGGAACCUAAAAAGUUCAGUUGUUGAAAUGGCGACUAACAUACCCAAUUAUCUUCCUAACUUUUAUGGAUCUUCUUCUUCAGCUUCAGAGAGUGUUUCUGGAUCAGAUCAUAAAGAAAAUUCCCAAAGUUCUGUCCCUGGCAUGGGUACAGGAACAUCUAUUACAGGGUUGGCAAUCAUGGUUAUUAUGAUUGCAGUUUUCAAGCGACUUUAGACUCAUAAUAUUCUGCUGGACCUGUGGAAGCAGUGUGUAGACCUCCAAUUAAAGGCUCCAGAGUUUGUUAGCUAUGUUAUAACUUGUACGAGACUUUCUCUUGCUAAAUCUUAAUAGAUAGUACAAGGGAGAUACUUUAUCUUAACAACUCUUUUUAGCUGGAUAAUGGGAUUGAUAUUAUGGAGUUUAUUGAAACUCACUUCCUUAUUCCUCGUAGGGAAUGUUGUAGGUUGUUGUUAUUUCCAUUUUGUUGUUAUUUCCUUUUAAAUGUAGGUUGUUACAACCACUUGGGUAGAAAUAUUGUAGGAUCCAUUCAUAGUUCGAUAAAACUAGUCGAGUGUGGACACUCAUGGCUAAAACAAAAGGCCAAACUGAGGUCCAAGUGGCCAACCGUUUCUCUAUUUCCUUAUUCGUGGCUAGAAUGAGAAAUUGCGAGACACCCAAAAAGGUUUUUAUAGAACUGUAUGAAGAAGUUUGUGGCCAUAAUCUGAGAGCUUCUUUAAAAGAAAUGAAAGUAUUUUUGUGGUGAAGAUUGAUGUUAUGCUGAAACCAUGAGACUCGAGCAAUACUGUAGAAUUAGAAACUGAAAGCAUUUAAUAGGAUACCCUUCCACACAAAGUAGUUGACCACCUCUUCCUUGAAUGUCUCUGGCAAUGUUGGGAGAUUUGUAUGGUGAAUGUCCUAUUUCAGAAUUUUUAUUACAACUUUCUUACCAUCAUAAAAAGUGAUUUUUGUUUUCUGAAACUUGUUUUGGCUUAUGGAAAACACUUUAACUCGACCUUGUAGAUCAUCUCUUCUCUUCUCAGAAGCAAAGCCGGUUAGCAUUGAAGAGUUUAUCAAACAUAGUCUUAUGAUAUUUUAUUUUAUUUCAAUAUUUUAUUUUAUUUAGACAAGUUUAUCAAGGGGUAAAACAAAUAAAUUAAUUAUCUUUGUGAAAGUGCUUCAGAUGACUUUUUUUUUUUAAUUAUUAUUUUUAAGCCACUCGUAGAAAUCUUUUUUGCAUAUUGCAAAUAGACAAAGAUGAGUGUUAUCAAAUACCUACUUAAUGUAAAAACUUGAAUUGGUGCAUGUUACUAUAUAAUUUUACAUAUUGCAAAUAGAUAAGGAUGAGUGUUAUUAAAGAGCUACUUAAUAUGAAAAAAAUGUUUUUGGAAAAGUUAUUAUAAAUAUUAGUAAAACAGAUGUCAUUAUUCAUUAUACUUAGUGUCAUUCUCAUUCACAUCCAACACCUUUGUCAUGUGUCUUGAAAAUACGAGAAUAUUUAAUGACUAUGUAAUCCACUACAUACUUGUCAAAUUGCUUAUAAAUAGUUGCAUUUGGUGGGUUUUGGAAGAUACACUUAUAUUGGUGAAAUUUCUAAAUAAAUGGGAGGAAUUUGCUUAUAAAUCUUUCUUUCUUGUAUUUUGUAUACUCAAAAUUUCAUCACUUCUCGGUUCUUCAUAACCAUACUUAACAAUGUCUCACACAUCUCGUGAACCAAGUAGAGUUUUCAUUCAAAUAUACCAACUACUAUAAUUUUCUUUUUAAGUCGAGACACUUGGAGAGAAACUAAAUUGUUGUUUGCCAUUUGCAAAAAAAAAAUUUUAUACUCUAAACUCAAACUUUGAUACUACUUUGUUGGAAGCGUGUGAUGAACACUCCAAAUAGAUAAUCACAAAAUAGAAUAUUUGUGAGUAAAAAUCUUUUUUUUGGAAAACUUUAACUCUCUUUGUAUCUAUUAUUUUUCAUACCUAGUUGUCUCACCAACGUAAAUGUGAAUCCUAUUUAUAGGAUUGUCAUAAGGAUAGUAACUCACACCACAAUUAAAUAAAAUCCUAAAACUCCUGCUAAAUAUUAACUCACAUCCUUUAAUUUUUGUCAACUCCCAUAAAUCAAUUCACAUAUCUCCUAAUUUAGGGAACUGUCACAAGUAGCAUAAAAAAAAGAAAUGAUUUUUGUGACAAGUAGCAUAAAAAAAAAGAAAUGAUUUACAAAAUAUAACAAAAAUUUUAAAUGAGGUAAAGAGAAUUGGAUGGAUUUUACUAUUUUUUUUUUAACAACUUCAAAAGUAAUAUUUUGCUACUUUUUAACACGUUCCUUUAACUUAUUUAAUUAAAAUAUGUUUAAUUUUCAACCUAGUGUAAGUUGGUAGAUUAGAAUACCAAUAAAAGUCCAUAGUUUAUAAUUGUUUUUUUGAAACAUCAUAGCUUAAUUUAAAUAGAUAUACUUUCUAGUUGAUUCAAUAUGUUCUCCCCUAAAUUUGGUUCAAGUUAAUGGCUUCUAACUACCCAAACGAACCUUUUGUCCUAAUGAAAAACCAUCUGGCCUCCAUACAACACCAACAAUCGAUAUGGCCUACACUAAAAGAAAAGAAAAGAAAAGAAAACUCAAUAUGGUCACUGCCACGUAUAACUCCAAAAUAAUAAUAAUAACAAGAGAGUAAAGGGAAAAAAAGAAGAAGAAUAAAAAGAAAAAUGAAAACCACACAUAUUUGCCUUAUUGUUGAAGCAAUUACUAGGAAUGAAAAUUACAAAACAUUGAGGGAAUUGAAAUCUUAUAUGCUUUGUCAUCAUAUGAGGACAAAAAUUUUGGUUGUAAGUUUAAAUGCAGUUUAUGUUAUGU
Molecule: long non-coding RNA, 78836 nt
Filed under: Cucumis sativus (cucumber)
Lineage: Eukaryota; Viridiplantae; Streptophyta; Magnoliopsida; Cucurbitales; Cucurbitaceae
Description: long non-coding RNA (CSAT_LNC000880)
Source: RNAcentral